GGUACAAUAACUUAGGUGAAUUGAAUGGAGAGAAGACAAUUCGUAGAUGGUUUAGAAAAAAAAAAGUUGAGAAUAAGCAGAGAUAUACACUUGGUUAUACCUCAAUCUAUUUCUCAUGGAUCAGGAAAGUCAACUCUGCAGGGAUUACCACCAGACCAAAUAAUGGAGACAGAAUAAGAAAAUAUUAACAGAAAAAUAUAGUGUCAAAACCCCUAAAUUCCUCAUGCACAAAAGAUAAAUUAGUAUAGGUGAGAAAAUAACUUCCCUCCAAAUAAGUUUACUAGCCCUUGAUCCGAGAAUGGAGAGGUAAGUUGAACCACCUUCACUGAAGGCCCUAGUAAUAUAGGAAAUUAUAAGACAGAGCAGAUCUACCAUCCAGAGAUCUCUCACUCAAUUCAAGGAAACAACAGAAAACAAGUAGGGAAAGAGAGAGCUCCUCCAAAAUCUUUUCGCCCAGAAUAGCACAGUAACAAACAUGAUAACAAUGCUUUGAUCCAAGCUAUCCUAAAAUGAAGACGAGAGAAGCCAUUACCAACAAACACCAGUGAUCUCACGGCAAACAGAACAAACAAGAGAACUCCUGAUUUACCACAUCCAUCCAAGAGAAGAGAGCACUUUUUGCCCAUGCAGAACUCCACCAUUCUAAGACAACCACACCAAAAGAACCAGAAAAGAAGAGACAAUCUUAGAAAAAGAAAAGAACAAGUACCAUUCAUGAAGUACACAACAUACUGCAAAAGUGCAAGAAAGUGCAGGCCUUCAUGAUCAAUUCUUAAUCAACACCACAGAGAAACUUCUGGAAGCCCAGAGCCACCACCUAUAGCAACAUCACCUAAAGCAAACAAAAAACACCACCUGGAGGUCCAGGUAAAAGCUCCAGAUUUUCAUUACAUUCAGACCCAUCCAAUUUAUUCACGAAGAGACACAUCCCAGAGACCUCCCUUUGACUGCGGAAAGCAACACAAAAAGCCAACAAAAAUUCAAAAUUCGACACAGAUGAGAACUGACAAUGGAAUGAACCAAUAACACCAGCUUUUUACAAAUUUAGAUUACCUACCAUAACCCCAAACCUAUUCAUAUAACAAGCAUAAACUUCAGAUCAUGAUGAACCACCAAAACACCAGAACCUACCUUAAAACAUGUUUAGUGGCAGAAUUUCAGCACUAAGAAAUACUUCAGAAGAUCAAAAUCGCCAAACUGGUAAGAUCCUAAGCAUCUGAGAACCAUUCCCCAGAGAUAAAGAAGGCAUGGGAUAAGCAGCAAAAUGGGUGCAUGUGAAUUGAAUGGGCAGGUCGAAGGUGUUCAACCAUUAAUCGCUGGGAUUAAGCAGUGAUACCUUUUCCUUGAGGAUCAGGAACACAAGACUUCCAAGCAAUUACUGACAAAACAAUAAUGCAUAACAUUUCUACAAACAUGGUGGACUAUGGAAGAAAAGAUUUACAAAAAAACUAGAUUAUAUUUAUAAUAGUCUGCAGACAUCAAAAAGUACUAAAACCUGUAAAAUGCUCAAGCCAAAAAAAUAAAGAAUGAUAAGCAUAGUAAGAAGAUAAAUCCCCCUCUAUAAUAAUGUACUAGCCUUUGAUCUUGAGGACAGAGACCUAAGUUUUGGCCACACCUCUGAAUCACCAGAAUCCUAGAUUCGACACAAAAUGAUAUGGUAAAUUAGAGAACAAGUAGAGAAAAUCAUUUUUAAAGAAACAGCAAAAAAAAGAGCAGGGAAAGAGAGAGCUUAUCCAAAAUCUUGUUACAAAACCCAUUAGCAGGGUACCAAACACACCAACACUCCUGCAACAAGCUUCCCUAAAAUCAACACAACAGACAGAAGGCAUCACCAACCGCCACCUUGAUUUUUUCAGGCAGAGGGAACAAAGAAAGACCAGGUUGAAAAGAUAUCCCGAUUUUAUUCACAUCCAUCCAAGAGAAAACUCUCGCCUCCACACACCAGAAAUCCACUAUUCUUGAAAGACAUCAAAAAAACCAGAAGACAAGACAAAUCUUGAAAAAUCACCAAGAACAAAACACAGUAAUUAGCGUCAAGUCCUUUUACCAAUCCACUCUAUAGGGAGACUGCUGAAAAACCAGAACUGCUGCCUACAGCAAUGCAAAAAUAAAGCAGAAAGCAAAAUCAAGGAUCACAUUCACAUCCAUUGCAUAAUUCCACGAAGAAUCACAUCCCAUAAUUCUAAAAAAAUGGCAUCCAAAAGCCCAUGUUCCGUCACCACCCUCAAUAAAGGAAUGGAUCAAAAGACUUGGCACAAAGACAAGAAUAAUCCUCAAAUAAAAACUCUGAACAAGUUAUCAUUCAAUCAAACCAAUAUGCAUAGCCUUAACUCUUCUUCAGAUCAAGUUGCAUAAGCAAAAUACCAGGAACCCCAACCAUACAAAAGUUUGAUGACGGAAUCUACUUCCUGUUAUAUACUGAGCAGCACAUAACCAUCCCCAAAGAAAAGCGCUGGAUUAAGCUAGUCCAUCAAAUACAAAAGCCAAAAAAAAUGCUAACCUUCGGUGAUUGAAUGGGUAGGUUGAAAGCAUUCAUACAGUUUUUCCAGAAAUAAAUGGUUGAAUAGCAAAGAUAUGCACUUGGUUACAACCCGUUCUAUUCAGAGUGGAUCAGGAAAGUUGACUCUGCAUGACAUGCUGCAGACCAAAAAGAUUCACGGACAAAUUAUAUUAUAAAUAUGGUGUCCAACCCCCUAAAUUCCUCAAGCACAAAAGAACAAUUAGCGUAGGUGAGAAAUUAACUCCCUCCAAAAAAUUUUACAAGCCCUUGAUCCGAGGAUGGAAAGGCAAGUUUGAAUCACAAAUCACUGGAACCCAAAGUUGCAACACCCUAGUAAUAUAGGAAAUUAGAGAACAAGCAGAGCAAAUCCACAAAUGUCCUAAUCAACUUCAACAAAACAGCAGAAAACAACCAGGGAAAUAGAGGUCCUCCAAAAUCUUGUUAAGCCCGAAUAGCAGGGUAACAAACAUGAUGAAAAUGCUCCGAUCCAAACUUCCCUAAAAUGAAGAUAAUAGUUAAGCCAUUACCAACGCGCGCCAGUGAUUUUUAGCAAAGAACACAAACAAAGAAUUGAUUGGCAGAAGAGAACUCCCAAUUUAUCACCUUCAUCCAUCCAAGAAGAGCUCUUUUUGCUUCUAUCCAUCCAGGAAGAGCUCUUUUCACUUUCAUACACAGAACUCCAUCAUUCUAAGAUCACAUCAAAAGAACCAGAAUUUAAAAGCUAAGAAAUACUUGACAACAUCAAUAUUACCAUAUUGAUACGAUCCUAAGCAUCUGAGAACAUUCCCAAAGACAGAAGGCAGGGAACCAAAAUAAAUUCAAAAGCCUAAAGAGAACAAAUGGGCAAAACGCAGCAGCAGCAGCAAAAUAGGUGGAGGCAAAUUGAAUGGAGAGGUUGGAAGCUAUUUCAAUGGUGUUUGUCCUGGGAAGAAAAGGUCUGCAGAUAUCAAAAGGUGACAAAAGCACAAGAUUGUUUGGAAGAAUAUAACUCCCUCCAAAACAGUUUACCAUCCGAGGAAGGAAGGCUCAGUUGUCACUACAACUCCGAAUCACUGAAACCCUAUAUUGCACAACACAAAUGCAGGAGAUCAGAAAACGAACUCGCUGUCUCACAGAGCAAAUCAGCAUCAACAGCUGAAAACAAUCAAGACAGAGAAAACUUCAGGAAUCUUGCAAACCAGUAUAGCAGGACAAAAACAUGACCAGAGCCUCCUGCAUCCAAGCUCCCCUAAAUCAAUACAACAGAUAAGGCCAGUUGCUAAUUGACUCCCCAGUUAAUUUUUUCAGGAAAUAAAAAAGGAAACCAAAAAAAAGGGCGAGGGAAAAACUCCCGGUGUCGUAGAUGAUAUUCGCAUCCAGAAAGUCUUUUUAGCCCCACCGAAGACUAGGAUUCUGCCACGCCACAACGAGAACAUCAAAAGAACCAGAAAAAAAGACGAAUCUUGAUAACAAAAACGAUCGAGAAAUUACUAAUUAACAAACCCAACAAUAGUAAAAACUCAAUCUUCCUCAUCAAUCCUGGAUAGACAACACGCCAAAACUACCGAAAGUCCAGAGCACGCCUACAGCAAUCACAACAACAAUAACAGCCACAGAUUAAAUAAAACUCCAGAUUCAGAUUACGCUCACAUCCAUCCAACAGAAAGUUGCUUCCUACUCCAUCCGCCCGAAAUCCAUCAUUCUACAAGAAGCACGGCAAGAAAACCAGAAAGAAGAACCAAAACGGGGCUAUUUUUGAACCAAAACAGGGCUAAUUUUGAAGGAAAUUUGAUGUCAAAUUUGUCCGAUAAUUGGAAUGAUCCAGAAAUUACCACGUAAACAAACCGAAUCUAGUGCAAAAACUGGUAUCCUUCCCGUUCAAUCCUUCGAAAUACCCGAUCAACCGCCAAAAAAAAAACCAUGAUUAAAUCUCAAAAGUCGCAUCAAAAAAAUUAGCGAUAAUAAGCUUCAAAUUAAUCAAAUCAUCACAACCAUAGAAGCAACGAUCGAACCUAGCGAUAAUCAUCAACCGAAGAUCCUAACCUUCAGCUGAGACAAAAAACCACAACAAUUGAAUCUCAUUUAGCGAAAGCCUAACCGUAGAAUCCCAAGAAAACCCACGAUGAAGAUAAAAGCAUGAUUUCUUACCACAAACGAAACGGAAGCAAAAGGCCACAGGAAAGGAAAGCGGGGAUUGGGGGUAUUUAUAGAUGCUUGGGAAGAGAAUGAACUGCUAGGAUUAAGCGUCUUACGUGAUCUGGACGGUUAAAAAGAGCUCUUAUCCUCGUUGGACUCGGGCUAAGAUUCCCUUACGCGUAUUGCCCCAAAGUCGGUUGUUUAUUUGAUUUAGGAAAUGUGGUCGCCACCAGAUUUAUACAUAUUUUUUUUUUUGGGUGCGAUAGAAAUCAUUUUCUUUUACUGAAAUUAUUUUUAAAAAAACCUUGACAGCUGUGCAUGGUCAAAGCCCGUAGGCUUAGGGAACUUUCUCAAAACUUCCGUUCGAAUUGUUUUUUUUUUUUUUUUUUGUAGAAAAAUGUACAAUAAUCAUUUGACGUAUAUGAGAUAAAAAUAUAAUUAAAAAUAAAUUUAUAAAGAAGAUAAAAUUGUUUUAGAGAAAAAUGACAAGAUCUAAUUUAGUAUAUAAAUUGAUUUGUUUAAAUAGAUUAUUUUUUAAAAAAUUAAUUACAUCAAAAGCACUCAUGCUUUAUGUCACAAAUAUGUUGUUGGUGUGCUAUGUGUGUGGAUUGAAGAUUAUUUCACUUUAUUUAUACCUUAUUGACACAUACUGAUUUGAUUACAUUAUCAACACAUUUUUCAAUCACCUUUUUAUCUCACAUACAUCACAUCAAAAAAGUGUUACAAUAAAAAUAUCUCAAAUAAUUUACAAUCCAAACACAUUGCCUUAAUAUAUGUUUAUUACGUAAUCUCCUUAUUUUGAUUUUUUAGUUUCUUGAAUAAAUUAAAACACUUAGACUUUUAAUUGGUUGCAAUUUAAUAAUAAAAUAGUGGUUGAAUGCAAUAAUGGAUAGCAAGAUCGAGUAGGGAUAUCGUUGUCUAAUGGAUGUCGUAGAUAAGUAUUUAGAAAACACAUUGAUAAAUAACGAUUAACAAAAAAUAAUUUUUAAUUAGAUUGUAAUUAUUCAUACUUUACUUCAUAACUCCUUGAUUUUUUUAAUUUGUGUGAAAAAUACUUAAAAUAUUAAUUUCAAUUACAAUUUCAUAAUGAAAUAGUGAUUGAAAUGCAGUAAUUGGUAGCAAAGAUUGAAUGGUGAUUGAAUAGGGAUGUUAUUACUAAUUAACAUGGUAGAUAAGUACUAAGGGAACAUUGAUGAAUAAUUGUGUGCCAAUAACAAUUUUCUAUACGGAAAAAAUGUGAAUAUAGAUACUUUUUUCUUUCUCUUUUUUUUAUCCAAUGAAUAUGGACCGAAUGAAAAGGCAAAUGGCCAAAAUGAAAACACCAGCAGAUUAGAGGAUUCCAGAUUCCUCUAAAAAUGGAUAUCGGGUGGGAUAUUAUUCAGUAUUUCAAGAAGGUUCACAUUCCUCUGAAGUCUCAUUUAGGCCCAUCUCCAAUUUGAAUUGUGUCAUUCCAUAUGGGGCCUGGCAGUUCAAAUUUCUAGGAGAUUGGGUAUCAAAUAACACAAAUUUGUUUGGAUUGUGCUUUUCGCGGAAAAAUUCUAACUUUUUAUAAAUAUAUUUUUCAAAUUAUCUUUUUAUUUCACAUGUAUCAAAUCAUUACAGUACAUUGAAUUAUAAGCACUUUGGCAUGGCAUUUGAACUUUGACAUAGAGCUCUCAAUGAAUUGAAUUUUCACGAACAGGUUCUUACUUGUAUAUAAUACUCUAAUUGAGCUUGAGUUCCGUUCAUAUAUCAUAUGAGCAAAAUUUGAACACUAAAUAUUUAGUUUGAUUCGACUCAUUAAAAGCUCUUUUCAUAUAUUAUAUGAACAAAAAUUUCAACAUUAAGUAUUUAGGUUGAUUCGACUCAUUCAAAACUCUAUUUUGACAUAUUGAAGUUGUGUUGCACUAUCACGUGAACAUUCAACUUGCCAAUUAUGCAGAUGCUCAUCAUAAGUUUUCAACCUGUGUUAGAAAAUUGGGAACUUCUAAGUAGUGGCUGGCAAUGCAAGCAGUCUCAAAUACUGCCAGAAAGGCAAUUCCUGUGUUGAUCUGCUUAAAAAGAUGAGUUUGUCUCUAUUAUCAACAAAUUUUAUGAAUGUUUCCUUGAUGAGUUUGUCCAGCUUAUAAACAGAGAAAGACUUUAGAAGCUUUGCACCGCACCACCACAGCCCCAAGAAAUGAUAGCUUAUUAGGAAAAUCUUUUUUUGUUUUGUGUUAUAUUGAGUAAUCUCUUGUAUUGUCACUUUCUUGUUUUGGGGCUUUAGAAAUUUUGUUCUACAUUUUAUUUUUGUCUUCAUUAUAAUAGAUUUUGCUCAUCUUUCUGGUGGAUGUAGAUCUAAUUGAUUGAACUACGAAAAAAAUCCACAAUACAAAAUAUGCAAGAACAUUAGGUUGGUACAUUUUCACACCAAAACCUAAAUCAAAUGCACCAACCAGAUGUAACCGUUUCACUGAAAAUUAUAUAGACCUGUCCAAAUCUCUAAUUUGGAAUAGUCGAUAGUCUUUAUUUCACUGAUUGAUCUUGUUUAACCUUCUUUCAUUUUUCUCUUUUGUUGGUCCUUCUUCUACAGAACAGGAGACUGGUGGAGCGUAGAUACUUAGAUCAUCUGUCAACUCGUGCGAGCUCAUAAAAUCAAUACUGAUGAAUCUAGUAAUCCUGUGAUAUCUGUAUGUUGGAUCAGAUACAAGAGAUACUUGUAGGAAGCACCCUUUCAUUAGAUUAUUCUAUCUCUGAGCAUAUUAUUUGCCUUCACUAUGCCCUGUUGGUGUUUUCUUCAAUUUCAUGAUGAGCAAUUAACAGAUAUGUUAGCUAAGAAAACAAAAAAAAAAAAAGAAAAAAGAAAAAUUGAUGCUUUAUUGAACCUUCUAAUUGCAACGUUCUUCUUAAUCCAAGGCAUGCAAGUCCAAAUACAGAUGUAGUUUAAAAUGAAUAGGACUAACAUAGACCAAAAUGAAAGAUGAUAAGCAGCAAAGGAGGGAAGAAUGGUGAUUGAAUUAUUUUGAGUAUCAAAGCCAUUUCAGCCAAUUCUUUUCCUUUCAGGCCACAGGAGAAACAUUUUUUGCAGCUCAUCCCUUGUAAUGAAGAGCCUCAUUGAUGAACUUGUUGAAAUUAAUGUAAGAUAAUCCCCUUACCUCAGUUGCUUCAGCUUUCUUCUUCUAUUCUUUAGCUUUGAACCUCAUUUUUCCCCUUCCUCUCCCACAAUCAUUUUGCGUACAAGUUCUGCAACUUCAUCGUACUUCACGUCAUGAUUUAUUUCCAUUCCAAUUCCCCAUUUCUCACAAGAGUAAUGACAAUUAGUUUGCUAAUCAACAAAGAAAGGCCAGCAGAUGACAGGCACACCAGCACAAAUAGUUUCCAUCAUAGAAUUCCAUCCACAGUGAGUAAAAAAUACGCCAAUAGCUGAAUGCUCCAACACUUUCUCCUAUGCACACCAGCUUGUUAAGAACCCUCUAUCCUGAAUCUCUUCCAGGAAAUCUUCAGGCAACAUUACUGAUUAUCCUCCCUGCACUACAUUAGGCCGAACAAUCCAUAAGAACUGUUGCCUGCUGGUAGCAAGUCCCCAAGCAAAUUCUCUGAAAUGAUGGUUAGUCAUGGUUGUUACACUUCCAUAAUUAACAUAAACAACUGAGUUUGGUGCUCUUCGAUCCAGCCACUCGAAAACUUUCAAGUCAGGCUUCCAUAAACUUGAAUUUAGGGAAUUGACUUGGCUUUUGGAAACAAUGUGCCUGGCUAAUAACUGUAGAGGGCCUAUAGUAUAAAUAUUUGGGAAAUUGAACUUCGAAAUGACUGCCUCCAAUGCUUCUGUUUCAAAUUCAUCGAAGGCAUUGAAGAUUAUUGAUGAAGCUUUGAGACAACUCUGUGCUUCCUCUCCCAUGAAAUCAAACAUGAUGUCAUUGGAUCGGUUGCUCUUAAAAAGCUUCGAAGGUCCCUGAAUUUUACAUUGCUCAUUGAUAGGGUACAAUUUGUUAGUAAUUUUAUUAUUAAUUUUCCCUUUUAUCCCUGACAAAUAUUGUGUUAAUUGCUGAUAUUUACUCAUAUUUGGUAUGUGGACUUAAUUUCAGGAAUAAAGCAGAAAACUACCAAAAGGAGGGACUUUAUGGAAAAUAUGGAGACUUCUAAGGGCUUCAAUGCUUGGGUCCUUGAAUUGGUGGGGACCACAAGCUAGUGGAAGGCAUCUAGUCAUUUGGACUCUAAAAAGAAAGCUACGGAAGGAGACUUGGGGCAAGAAGUACUUUGAAGGCUUUGUCCACAUGUGUGGGGACCACGUAGAGAGCCUUUAGUUAUCUUUCUUUUGUGGCUUAAAUAGGGAUAACGUAGAGUAGCAGAGGAUAUCUCUGUUUUAGUCUUUUAGUGUAGCUUUACUUUUUCCUUCUUUUGACUGGCCUCUGGCACACGCCAGGUGUUCGACAAAAUUCCCCAACGGGAAAAACACCUUUUAUUCCUUGCUUCUUAAUAGAAAACGCUAUGCCUUUGCAAUCCAUUAAUUCGUGUGGUGAUUUAAUUAUGCGGCGUGGCUAAGUCUUCCAUCUAGUCAAGGGUCAACUCGACGGCGCAGUCCCGAAAACCUGUGAGAUCUAAUUAGUUUUCACGCGUUCCUUAAUUUAUUAAUAUUUGCACGUUGCCUGCUUGUAUUUUCAUGGGAUUAUUUUAUUAAUUGGAUGUCAAGGGCCCGAUGUUCAAUGUGAUUUAUUAGUCUCGUGCCAAUUUAGUCAAUUAAAUCCGUAAUUGUUUGAUUGAUUAAUAUUAGUGGCAACUGGUGUGUUUACACAUUAGGGGAACGUGCAAUCUAAUUUAAAUAACCCUCGUAGCGUGUUAUUGGUUAGGGCUAGGUUUUUCUAAUAUUAAUGCAAUUGGGAAAUUAAUUCCUACGGUCGUACCUAGGAGUAUUUUCUGGUUAGGGGUGAUCAAUGGUCGUACCUUGGUUAUCAAUAAUUUAAGGAAAAAUUGGUCGUCAGACUAUAACUAGCCUAUUAAUAAAUUAAGUGAACCUCUCCUGCAUCAAUGAUCGGAUAAAUGGACUGUGCCUGAGUAGUUGCAUCCUUGGCUAGAAUUUAUUUAUUCUUGAUUUAAUUCCUGCUAUAUUGUGCUAGUUAUUUAUUUUUUUAGUUAAAUUGUUUAAUUAUUUUUAGUUUCAUUCCGGUGAAAUCCCCCCUUAUCAAUUGGACUUUAAAAAGAGACAGAUAUCUCCAGUCCCUGAGGAGACGACUUUACUUGCCACUGCCUACUAUUUUUGCCAACUAAUUAAUUCUGGUAUAUCGGAUUCAGCAAACUCUUCGGGAACAGGGUGAAUCAAGUAACCCAUUGCACACCUAGAGUCCCUGCUCCAGUACCUAGGAUUAAUUAUUGACAGCUCUUAGUGGUAGCUAGGUUCUAUAUUAUUAUUAUUAUUAUUGCACAGGUUGACGACCUGUCAAUUUUUGGCGCCGUUGCCGGGGACUGGCGUUAUUAUUUGUUUCUUUUUAAAUUUCAUUUUUGCUCUAAUUUUCUGGUAUUUUUCUAGUGUAUGCCUAGGUCUUCUCGUGCAGGUGAAUUGAUUUUUGACCCUGAAGUAGAGAAAACCGCGCGUAGAACAAGGAAAGAAACCAGACAGCUCAGAGAGGAGCACUCCAGGGCUACAUCUCAGAGACCUGAGCCCGAAGUUGAACCAGCAGAUUCGUUUGGUGACACUUCAAGUGAUUUUUGCCAAGAGAGCGUCGACAUGGCAUGGCAAACACACAAACAUUAAGGGAGUUGGCUGCUCCAAACUUGACCCAACAACCUCUUUGCAUAACUUUUCCUCGCCUUAGUGAGAAUGCAGCUUUUGAAUUAAAACCUGGUUUAAUACAUUUGUUGCCUGUUUUUCAUGGUCUGCCAGGAGAGGAACCCCACAAACACAUGCAGGAAUUUGAUGUGGUGUGUUCGAGUAUGAAACCUUCGGGAGUAACUGAUGAACAAAUUAAAUUAAGGGCCUUCCCUUUCUCUCUCAAGGAUUCGGCAAAGGACUGGUUAUACUGUCUACCUGCAGGCAUUAUCACCACGUGGCCAGAGAUGCAGAAAAAAUUUUUUGAAAAAUAUUUCCCUGCAUCCAGAGCUGCUAGUUUGCGAAAGGAAAUAUGUGGAAUCAAGCAAUUUCACGGGGAAUCCUUGUAUGAAUAUUGGGAGAGGUUCACCAGGCUGCGUACCCGAUGCCCGCAUCACCAAAUAAGUGAUCAACUGCUGAUUCAGUAUUCUACGAGGGGCUACUGAUGAACGAUAGAAAUAUCAUUGAUGCAGCAAGUGGUGGUGCACUGGUGAAUAAGACUACCCAGGAGGCAUGGGACUUAAUUGAGCGAAUGGCAGAGAAUUGCCAGCAGUUUGGUACGAGAGCAGAUGUUCCUACGAGAAAGGUCAACGAGGUAAGUUCAUCUUCCAUUGAACAGCAGUUAUCUGAAUUAACCUCAUUUGUUCGACAGAUAGCUGUAGGAAAUGCACAGCAGGCCAAAGUGUGUGGGAUUUGCACGAAUAUUGGUCAUACCACUGACUCGUGCCCACAGUUACAUGAAGAGGGAAUUGAGCAAGCAAAUAUGGCUGGUAACAUGCCCAUGCCACGUAGACAGUAUGACCCCUAUUCCAACUCAUACAAUCCGGGUUGGAGGGAUCAUCCAAAUCUAAGCUAUGGGGGAAAUAAGCAACAAAAUUUCAUCCCCAAUAGACAGCAGGGCUUCCAGCAACAAUAUCAAACAAGGAAUCAACCCUCCUCUACCUCAGGUAUGUCCCUAGAAGACAUGGUUAAAACCAUAGCCUCUAAUACUAUGAAAUUUCAACAGGACACUGAGGCCAACAAUCAAGAGAUGAAAGCACGUAUGCAAAACUUGGAAAAUCAGAUGAGUCAAUUAGCCUCAAUUGUCAACCGACUAGACUCCCAGGGGAAGGGAAAACUCCCAUCCCAACCUGAGGUGAAUCCCAAGAAUGUAAGUGCAAUGACCCUCAGGAGUGGGAAAGAGGUUGAAGGUCCAGCCCCAGUGGCUCCGAAGGACAAGAAUGAGGACCGUAUUGAGAAGGAGCUUGAGGAAGAAGGAACUCCUGGCACAAAUGAAGAGGUAAUACGUAACCCAGUGGGUCCAGUUAAGCCUAACCCACCACCUUUUCCUAGCAGGUUGGAAAGGCCUAAAAAGCAAGACAAGGAAAAGGAAAUUUUGGAGAUGUUUAGGAAGGUGGAGAUAAAUAUCCCCUUACUUGACGCAAUUAAGCAAGUACCCCGGUAUGCCAAAUUUUUGAAGGACCUAUGCAUCAAUAGGAAGAAAUUGAGGGGAGAUGAAAGGAUAAUUGUGGGAGAGAACGUAUCUGCAGUGCUUCAAAGAAAACUUCCACCAAGUGCGGAGACCCGGUAUGUUCACUAUUCCUUGUAAAAUAGGGAACACUAGCAUUAGGAAUGCCAUGUUAGAUUUAGGAGCCUCUAUAAAUGUGAUGCCCAGGCUAUAUAUGCUUCUCUGAAUUUGGGCCCUUAAAGGAAACUGGCAUUAUAAUUCAAUUGGCUGAUAGGACUAAUGCUUAUCCUGAUGGGGUGAUAGAAGAUGUGUUAGUACAAGUGAACAAUUUAGUGUUCCCUGCUGAUUUUUAUAUUCUUGAUAUGGGUGAUGAACGUUCUCCAAAUCCAUCACCAAUUUUGUUGGGGAGGCCCUUCUUGAGCACGGCUCGUACAAAAAUUGAUGUUAGUAAGGGCACCCUAACGAUGGAAUUUGAUGGAGAAAUAGUUCAUUUCAGUAUAUUUGAGGCCAUGAAAUAUCCGUGUCAUUCUAAUGCUGUUUUUGCUGUGAGUAUAAUUGACCCUUUGGUGCAAGAAGUAUUUGAGAUUAAUGGCAGGGAUGAAUUGGAGGUAGCAAUCACCAAACAUUUGGAUCUGGAAGUGGCCUGCGAAAUGGAGUUAGACAUCAAUUUGCAAAGAAUGGUUGGAGCCUUGCAUUCACUAGGCCAAAGUCCUCUAAGGUAUGAUGUUGCUCCUAUAUUUGUGCCUGAACCACACCUAAAGCUGUUACCUUCUAUCGUGCAGGCACCUGAAGUGGAGUUGAAACCCCUGCCCGAGCAUUUAAAGUAUGCCUUUCUAGGUGAAAAAGAGACGUUACCAGUGAUAAUCUCAUCCAAAUUAUCACCCACGGAGGAGGACAAGCUGCUGCGGGUUUUAAGGGAGCAUAAGGAAGCUAUAGGGUGGACAAUUGCAGACAUCAAGGGUAUAAGCCCGUCUGUGUGCAUGCAUCGAAUUCGCCUGGAAGAGGAUGCUAGGCCGAUAAGACAACCACAAAGGAGAUUGAACCCCAUCAUGAUGGAAGUGGUCAAAAAAGAGGUAAUCAAGCUUCUGGACGUAGGAAUUAUUUUCUCUAUCUCAGACAGCCCAUGGGUAAGUCCGGUCCAAGUGGUGCCAAAGAAAGCAGGGGUAACUGCGGAAGAAAAUCAUGAAGGGGACCUUGUUCCAAUUCGAAAGCCUACGGGUUGGCGCCAGUGCAUCGAUUACCGUAAAUUGAACGCAGUGACCAAGAAGGAUCAUUUUCCCCUUCCAUUCAUUGAUCAAAUGGUUGAAAGGUUAGCUCUGUCGUGCCUAUUAUUGUUUUUUAGAUGGUUUCUCUGGUUAUUUUCAGAUAGCAAUUGCGCCAGAGGAUCAAGAGAAAACAACUUUCACUUGCCCCUUUGGCACUUUUGCCUAUCGAAGGAUGCCUUUUGGAUUGUGUAAUGCCCCUGCAACAUUCCAGAGGUGCAUGAUUAGCAUUUUUUCUGAAUAUGUAGAGAGAAUAAUUGAGGUAUUCAUGGAUGACUUCAGUGUCUAUGGUGAUAGUUUGACGAUUGCUUAGAUAACUGACAUUGAUUUUAAAAAGAUGCAUUGAGACUAACCUGGUGCUAAUUGGGAAAAAUGUCACUUCAUGGUUGAGCACGGGAUAGUUCUAGGACAUGUAGUGUCAUCUAGAGGAAUUGAAGUUGAUAAAGCUAAAAUAGAUGUGAUAUCUGCUUUACCUUACCCCGUAACUGUACGGGAAGUUCGUUCUUUUCUAGGACAUGCAGGUUUCUAUCGCAGAUUUAUCAAGGAUUUCUCAAAGAUCGGGGCACCACUUUUCAGGCUUUUACAAAAGGAUGUCAGUUUUGAAUUCGACGAGAAAUGCGAAGAAGCGUUCGAGAAGUUGAAAAAAUUACUCACUUCUCCACCUGUCAUCCAACCCCCUGACUGGAAUCUCCCAUUUGAAAUCAUGUGUGACGCCAGCGAUUACGCAGUGGGUGCGGUACUAGGUCAAAGAGUGGGAAAGGCAGCCCACGCUAUAUACUACGCAUCUCGAGCCUUGAACGGAGCCCAAUUGAACUAUUCGACCACCGAGAAAGAGCUCCUAGCUGUAGUUUUUGCUUUAGAAAAAUUUCGUUCCUAUUUACUUGGUGCUAAAGUUAUUAUUUUCUCUGAUCAUGCAGCCCUGCGGUAUCUGUUGACCAAGAAAGAGGCAAAACCGCGACUGAUAAGGUGGAUAUUGUUGCUACAGGAGUUUGACUUGGAGAUCAGAGAUAAGAAAGGGGCAGAGAAUUUGGUAGCAGAUCACUUGAGUCGGGUACAAGUCACCAAGGACGAUAUCCCGUUGAGAGAAACUUCCCUGACGAGCACUUAUUUUCUGCUAAUUUAACUUUGCCCUGGUAUGCAGAUAUUGUUAAUUUUCUAGUUACUGACAAGUUUCCUGCAGGAUGGCCUAAGGCAAAAAGGGAUAAGUUAAGGAGUGACGCAAAAUCUUACAUCUGGGAUGACCUUACCUCUGGAAACGUGGUGCCGACCAAAUCAUUCGCAGAUGUGUAGUGAAAAUGAAUUCCAGUCUUUUAGCUUAUUGUCACUCUUUUGCAUGUGGAGGUCACUUUGGACCAAAGAGACUGCUCGUAAGGUUCUAGAGAGUGGAUUUUAUUGGCCAACCCUCUUUAAGGAUGCCUAUUUAUUUUGUAAGUCAUGUGAUAAGUGUCAACGAGUAGGUAGUAUUUCUCGAAGGGAUCAAAUGACCCAAACCCCAAUGAUUUUUGUUGAGAUUUUUGAUGUUUGGGGUAUUGAUUUUAUGGGCCCUUUUCCUUCAUCUUUCGGUUUUUUGUAUAUAUUGCUUGCCGUAGAUUAUGUCUCAAAGUGGGUGGAAGCAAAAGCCACCCGCACUAAUGAUUCUAAGGUGGUUGCAGAAUUCAUUAAAUCUAAUAUCUUUGUCCGUUUUGGGAUGCCACGAGCAAUUGUAAGUGAUCGGGGUACCCAUUUCUGCAACAAGACGAUUGCUGCACUUUUUAGGAGGUACGGUGUCUUGCACAAAGUCUCCACGUCUUACCAUCCGCAGACAAACGGUCAGGCGGAAGCAUCGAACCGGAGAUCAAGUCGAUUUUGGAAAAAAUGGUUCGACCUGACAGGAAGGACUGGAGUGUGAGACUUGAAGAUGCCUUGUGGGCAUAUAGAACGGCGUACAAGACACCGAUCGGCAUGUCCCCUUACCGUUUGGUAUUUGGGAAGCCAUGCCACCUCCCUGUCGAAUUCGAGCAUAGAGCAUUUUGGGCGGUCAAGCAAUGCAACAUGGAUAUCGAAGAGGGCGGAAUUCAAAGGAAGCUACAGUUACAAGAAUUGGAGGAGAUUCGCAAUGAAGCCUACGAGAAUGCUGUGAUGUAUAAGGAGAAAAACAAGAUUUUUCAUGACCAGCAGGUCUCUAGGAAGACGUUUGAAUGUGGACAAAAAGUUCUACUGUAUCACUCGAAGUUGAAGUUAUUUCCAGGUAAGUUACGUUCUCGUUGGAUUGGUCCCUUUGUUGUAACUAAUGUCUUUGAUUAUGGUGCAGUGGAGAUCCAGAGUCUGAAGACGGAGAAGAAAUUUGUGGUGAAUGGUCAUCGUCUCAAGCCGUAUUAUGAUGAGGUUCCAGUUGAGCGGGUAGAGAUGAUGCAUUUGGAGGACCCAAUUUGCUUGGUUUAAGCAAAUUAUGGGCUAUGUCUAGCCAAAGACACUAAAGAAAGGCGCUUUUUCGGGAGGCAACCUGAAUAUUGAUUUUAUUGUUUUUAGUUGUUCAUUUCUUUCAUUUUGUCGUUUCCUCGUUGGGUAGUAGCAGUAUUAAUAUUUCCUUCACUGAAAUCAGGAAGACAAUCUUGGCGUGCCCACGCGGUGUUGGUGUAUCCUGAGAUCAGAGGACGAAUACCAAUCUGGCGUGCCCACGCGGUGUUGGUGUCUCCUGAGAUCAGAGGACGAAGAGCAAUCUUGGCGUGCCCACGCGUGUGUUGUGUCUCCUGAGGUCAGUGGAUGUUUUGUAAUCUUGGCAUGCCCACGCGGUGAUUGACGACCCAAAACAUGGAUUAAAAAAAAAAAAAAAUUUUAUUAUAUUAUUAUUAUGAUUAUUAUUAUUAAUCCAAAAAAAAAAAAAAAAAACAUUAAACAUUUUCAAGAAAUUUUCUUUUAAAACCUUAGGCUUUUUUUCUUUUCAAAAUUCAGAAUUUUGAAAUAUAAAUUCGGAAUAAUGAAGAAACAGGGUUUUGAGAAAUUUAUAUUUAAAAAAAAAAAAAAAAAAAAACUCUUUUUCUUCUUUCCUUCUCUUUCUUUUCUUCUUUUCUUCUUCUUUCUUUCUUUCUUUCUUUCUUCUUUGCCCCGCGGCCCUACUUCCCUUUCCCUUCUUUUUUUUUUUUUUCCCCGCUUCCUCUCUGUUUUCUCUCCUUUCUUCUUUCUUUCGCUUCCGGUCGCGGCCAAGCUCGCGCCGCGCGCCUGUCCCCCGCCAGAUCUGCUCUCUCACCACCACCACUGCAAGCCGCGAGCCACGACGGCACUUCCCUCACACGCGACUGCGUCGCAGCGCCACGGACAGCCGCCGCUGCCCGCUGCUAUUUCCACCACCACGCGCAGCUUCACCCACGCAGGCUGCCGUCGACGCCGCCGCCACCUCGGGCGACCCUCCUCCGCCUACACCAGCCGCGCCUUCCACCCCCUCCAGCUCCAGCUCCUGCAGGCCCACCUCGCUGCGCACGGUUUCUCUCUGCCCAGUUCCACUUCGCCGCCACAGUCGGCACGGCUGCUCAAACCCUCCAGUCCACCGCCAGUCCUCCAGAAGCUUCCUCCUCGCGCGGGUAGACCAGGCGCUACUUCUGUGAAUUCGUCCUCUAUUUUUCUCUUUCCUAUUUUUUAAUCACUGAGUAGCUGAGGCCAAGAGCACUAGUUUUUUCAUUAGCUGAUGCCAGAUUUUUGAUUUGCUAGUUGAGAACGAAACUUGUGGGCUUAUUUGGGUGCUGUGGUAUAUCUGUGGUUGGUUGUUGAUUAUUUGGUAAAUUUUGUUCUCAUCGAUGGUAUUUGGGGAGAAUCUUUACUCGAUUUGACUGUUUAUUUAGUUUUUGAGGGGGGUUUUCUGCUCUGUUUAUUUGCUUAAUUAUUUCUUGGGGGAACUGUUUGGACAAGUUUGAGUUUAAUUGCUGCCAAGUGGGGAUAUUUUCUACUAUUUGUUGAACAGCUAGCCCAGUUGCUUUAAUUUUUCCCUGUGCCUCACCAGUGGUACUGGUUGAGCACUUUAGCCUAUCAUUGUUGCUGUUUUGGGAGAUACUGGCUUACGUUCAGGUUUCAUUUCUGGGGAUUGGGUCUCAUUUGCUGAAUUUUGUGUCCAAUUGUGGGUGAAUUGCUGCGAUUAUUUGCUUAUUGGGGGCGCCCGUGACGCUUAUACUUGCUUAUUGGGGGGCGCCCGUGACGCUUAUACUUGUUUAUUGGGGGCGCCCGUGACGCUUAUAUUUGCUACUUGGUUGUUUGGGUUUGCCUGUUGACCACCAUGGUGAAGCCUCGAUCUUCUUCUAAGACUAGGACCCCUAGGACUCCUAAGCCCCCUCCACCUCAGCAUUCCAUUCCCGCCUCUGACCCCUCGCACGACCCUUCCUCCUCUGGGAGGCGGGCUCGUCUUGGGCGACAAAGAGGCGUCCAUAUCUCUGACCCUGCACAUUUUGGGGGUCAUUUGGUUUUCACCAGGGCGGCCGACAAGCGGCGCUAUGAAGCGGCUUGUGAACGACGGAUUAUUCCUUGUCGUUAUCGGGACCUCGCCACCUUGGGCCUUCUUAAUAUUAGCGUCCCCUUUCACGAUUUGAUUGAAGCCAUCGGGUGGCGCCCCUAUUCUCGUAUCACUGACCUCCCGGCUUUUGUCGAGUUGGUUAGGGAGUUUUACGCCACGUUUGAGUUUGACCUUCCCACUAACUACACAGUUUCUACCCCUGAUGUCAUCCGCUUCCGUUUAAUGGGCCAGGAAUUCCACCAUUCCAUAACCGACUUCAAUCUGGCCUUUGGUUUCAUUGAUCCUGCUUAUGCUGAGUCUAGGGAGUAUGCCGAGAGUGCGUGUGACUAUGUCCAGCCGUUUUUCUCCCGCUAUCGCUUUCUUUGGGAUGAUAUGUCUGUAGACAGGGAUAACUAUGACCCUCGUCUAUCCAAGGGGUCCUAUCUGAAGGACCCGGCCUCUCGCUAUAUCCACCGUUUUUUGGCUUACAGUUUCUCUGGUAGGCGAGAUAGUUCGGGCAUUCUGUCUAAGCCCGAAUUUUUCUUUAUAUGGUGCAUGCAAAACAAUAUUAAGGUUAAUCUUGGGUGUUGGCUCGCGUCUCAGUUCAAGUCCAUUUUGCCUAAAAAGAAGCGGCCCUUGAUUCUUGGGUCUUACAUUACUCACUUGGCUAUUAAUUUGCAUGUCCUUGAUAUUUCUAACCAUAACUUGCAUAUAGCCUGUCAAAUGGAGCCUUUGGAUAUUCCAAGCUUAGAGAAAAUGGGCUUAGUUCGAGAGGGCGACAAUGGUUGGGAGGUUGUUCCCCCGGGACCGCUACACCCUCCCCUCGUUCAUCCUUUGCCAGUGCCUCCACGGCAGGCGGUGAUCCCGGUCCAUCUUCCUCCGUUCCCCUCCAUUCCGCCCAUACGGAUGAGGAAUGGAACCAGCUCCGCAACACAGUCGAGCGGCUUGAGAUUCGGCAGAAACACAUGGACGUUAACAUUUACAAUAUGGCGCAGAAUCUAGCGGCUUUUAUGCAGCAAGCCGGGUUCCCUCCUCAGUUUCCGCCUAACCCACCCUUGUCUUGACGCCUUCAGGGAAGUACCGUUGCCCCUCCCCUUUUUCUGAUAUUAUCUUUUCACAUUGAGGGCAAUGCGUCAUUUAGGUGUGGGGGGUCAGUUUGGGUGCUAGUUCUCGUUUCUUUAUUAUUAUUAUUAUUUUUUUUUUAUCUUGUUUUCUGCUUAGGUGUUGCUCCUUUAUCUCUUUUGAGUGUCUUUCCCUUACUUCUAUCUUGGUGAAUAUUUUUGGCAGCGCACUUUUUCUUGUUAGUUGUGGUUUGUACUAUGAGUUGAGUUACAGUGGCAAGUAAAAGCAUGCCUUCUUGGUGAAUACUUUGAGUCUAACGACGUGUGGUGCAAUUUAUGGCUAACUUGUUUAGGCAGUAUAAAUAUUUUGCUGGCACUGUUGUGUAGUUUGGUCUCCUGUUUACCUUAGUUCUCCAUAUUUGGGACAUGACGCAGGCUAUGAUCUGUAAUUAUUUGGUAUCUUGGUGUUUUCUGGUGAAUAAUGUAUGGCUAUACUCCGCUGGUGUCGCCACCUAGUAACCGGGAGUCUUCACCACAAGUGUCGGCUCUCGCGUCAAAAAGUGACGAUAUCUAUGAGUAAAUAGACCGGGAGCUACGAAAGGUCGAGUAACUGGGCUCUUUCAUCUAAAAAUGCCAGAGUUCACGUCAAAAGAUUUGAAUAGCUCGGGGCUAAGCAUCGGAAAAAGGAAAAAAGAAAAAAAGAGAAACAAAACAGAAAAGAAAAGGGAAAAAAAAAAAAGAAAAAAGAAAAUCAGAUGUGGAGAAUAUGUGAGUUUAUGACCAUAUUAGCCUGCCGAUCCUUGGUUCGUAUUGUUGAGAUUUUGGUUGCCAGUUGACUUAAUUACUAACUGUUGCUAGUUAUUAUUUGGAUUUCCUAAGCGAGUUAGCCAUGAAUUGGACAGGUCUAUGGACUUAAAAGCUAACCGUGAGAGAUAUGUCUUGACACUUAGUCACUAGACCUUGAUUUUGGGUAUAGGCACAGCUGGCUAUGAUAAUGUGAAAACUAGCCAUUGUUGAGUUAAAUUUUCCUCAUGCUUGGGGGCAAGCAUGAUUCAGGUGUGGGGGGAAUUGAUAGGGUACAAUUUGUUAGUAAUUUUAUUAUUAAUUUUCCCUUUUAUCCCUGACAAAUAUUGUGUUAAUUGCUGAUAUUUACUCAUAUUUGGUAUGUGGACUUAAUUUCAGGAAUAAAGCAGAAAACUACCAAAAGGAGGGACUUUAUGGAAAAUAUGGAGACUUCUAAGCGGGUUUCAAUGCUUGGGUCCUUGAAUUGGUGGGGACCACAAGCUAGUGGAAGGCAUCUAGUCAUUUGGACUCUAAAAAGAAAGCUACGGAAGGAGACUUGGGGCAAGAAGUACUUUGAAGGCUUUGUCCACAUGUGUGGGGACCACGUAGAGAGCCUUUAGUUAUCUUUCUUUUGUGGCUUAAAUAGGGAUAACGUAGAGUAGCAGAGGGAUAUCUCUAGUUUUAGUCUUUUAGUGUAGCUUUACUUUUUUCCUUCUUUUGACUGGCCUCUGGCACACGCCAGGUGUUCGACAAAAUUUCCCAAUGGGAAAAACACAUUUUAUUCCUUUGCUUCUUAAUAGAAAACGCUAUGCUUUUGCAAUCCAUUAAUUCGUGUGAUGAUUUAAUUAUGCGGCGUGGCUAAGUCUUCCAUCUAGUCAAGGUCAACUCGACGGCGCAGUCCCGAAAACCUGUGAGAUCUAAUUCGUUUUCACGCGUUCCUUAAUUUAUUAAUAUUUGCACGUUGCCUGCUUGUAUUUUCAUGGGAUUAUUUUAUUAAUUGGAUGUCAAGGGCCCGAUGUUCAAUGUGAUUUAUUAGUCUCGUGCCAAUUUAGUCAAUUAAAUCCGUAAUUGUUUGAUUGAUUAAUAUUAGUGGCAACUGGUGUGUUUACACAUUAGGGGAACGUGCGAUCUAAUUUAAAUAACCCUCGUAGCGUGUUAUUGGUUAGGGCUAGGUUUUUCUAAUAUUAAUGCAAUUGGGAAAUUAAUUCCUACGGUCGUACCUAGGAGUAUUUUCUGGUUAGGGGUGAUCAAUGGUCGUACCUUGGUUAUCAAUAAUUUAAGGAAAAAUUGGUCGUCAGACUAUAACUAGCCUAUUAAUAAAUUAAGUGAACCUCUCCUGUAUCAAUGAUCGGAUAAAUGGACUGUGCCUGAGUAGUUGCAUCCUUGGCUAGAAUUUAUUUAUUCUUGAUUUAAUUCCUGCUAUAUUCGUGCUAGUUAAUUAUUUAUUUUUAGUUGAAUUGUUUAAUUGUUUUUAGUUUCAUUCCGGUAAAACCCCCCUUAUCAAUUGGACUUUAAAAAGAGACAAUAUCUCCAGUCCCUGAGGAGACGACUUUACUUGCCACUGCCUACUAUUUUUGCCAACUAAUUAAUUCUGGUAUAUCGGAUUCAGCAAACUCUUCGGGAACAGGGUGAAUCAAGUAACCCAUUGCACACCUAGAGUCCCUGCUCCAGUACCUAGGAUUAAUUAUUGACAGCUCUUAGUGGUAGCUAGGUUCUAUAUUAUUAUUAUUAUUGCACAGGUUGACGACCUGUCACUCAUGCCACAAAUCCAAUCAACAAACUUAUCAAGAGUACCAUCUGUAAGGUAAUCGUCAUCUGGAUAGAAAAACGAAAAAUCAUUUUUCAAGAUUGAGGAACAAUUAUGAAGACUGUCAAGCAAUGAAAAUCAAAAUUCAAACAUUUGAACAACCAUCCUUAUCAAGUUUUAUUCCUUUCAGUAUCUGUGUUUCAGAAAAUUCAUAUAGGAUUAUCUACCAAAGUUGUUGACGCAUUAAUCAAAAUGGUAAAAGAAAGAAGAAAAAUUAGAAAGAUUGUGUUGAGAUAUACCAACUUUUCCUAUAGAUUUUAUCAGAUUGAGUUUGAUAUCAAAAUAAUUAAGUUAUUAGAAAAAUAAGGAUAUUUGUUAACAAAAAAUCAUGUGGUUUGUUAACAAAUAUUUUAACUAAGAUUUGCUAGUAGAAGAAGAUUAUAUUUUGUUAAAAUUUUUAAGAUAACUGUUAGUUAGAUAUUUUGCUAGUUUGUUUCAUGUAAUCACUACAAAUAGUGAGUUGAUAAAUGUAGAACACAAACUCAUUUUUCAUCUUUAAUACAAGUCUCUUAUAAGUUUUUUUUGCAACGCUAAGGUGUUGUUUCUUAGUUUAUAUUUCAAAAAACCAACAAAGUGGUAUCAAGAGCCCAAAUCUUAAGGGCCUCUUUCUUUGAGAGUGAGUGAAUCUAGUGAAAAUCUCUUUUUCACUAUAAAAUUAUACAUUUAAGCCUUCAACAUCAAAAUGCCAGGAAACAACUUCUUGUCGAAUCCUUCAAGUUUCACUGGUGACAACUACUAAAUUUGGGCUGUCAAAAUGAAGUUCUAUUUGGUGGCUAUGAUCUUUGGGAUAUGGUAGAGACAGAUCCUGUUUCUGAAUUGUCGGAAGAUUCAACUAUUACAGAGAUGAGAGCCCAGAGGAAUGCCGUUAAAAUGAGAUCAAAAGCCAUGACAUGCAUUCAUUUAGCAGUUUUCAAUGCAGUAUUUACAAAAAUUAUGGCUUGUGAAACUGCAAAGGAAGCUUGGGAUGCUCUCAAAGUGACUUUUUAAGGCAAUGACAGAAUAAGACAGAUGCAAGUUUUGAACCUUAGAGAAUUCGAACUGUUUAGGAUGAAAGACAAGAAAACAUUAAAGAGUAUUCUGACAGACUCUGAAAUGUUGUGAACAAAAUCAAGUUGAUUGGAGAACAACUUUCGGAUAGCAAAGUUGUAGAGAAAGUAUUGAUAAGUUUACCAGAAAGGUUUGAAACCAAGAUUUCCUCCCUUGAAAUUCAAGGGAUCUCUCUCGGAUGACCUUGUCAGAAUUGAUCAAUACUUUAGAGGCACAAGAACAAAGACGAACCAUAAGAACUGAAGAAAUCAUUGAAGGUGCUUUUCAAGCAACAAAUAAGGAUCAAAUUCGACAAGGUGGUAGAAAUGACCAAGAGAAAAAUAGCAAAGAUGAGAAGAAAAAUGGCAAAAAUCCUCCGUAUUCACACUGUAAGAAAACCUCACAUCUUCAAUAUAUUGUUGGUUUAAACCUGACAUUCAUGUAGGUUUUGUAAGCAAAUGGAACAUAUGGAGAGAGUUUGCAAAAAUAAAGGAAAAAGAAGACAUCAAUCUCAGAUGGUUGAUGAAAAAGAUGAGAAGCAACCUUUUGUGGCCACUUGUUUUGCAAACAAUAAUUUUAGUUCUGAAACUUGGCUAAUAGAUAGUGGUUGCACUCAUCACAUGGCAUAUGAAGAAUCUAUGUUUAGAAAACUUGAUAAAUCGCAAAUCUCCAAAGUCAAAAUUGGAAAUAGAGGUUAUAUUGAGGUGAAAGGCAGAGGUAGUGUUGCUAUUGAUUAUGGUUCAGGUAUCAAAAUUAUUUUUGAUGUUUUAUAUGUACCUGAAAUUAAUCAAAAUCUAUUAAGUGUUGGACAGUUAUUGGAGAAGAAUUAUUCUGUCAUUUUCAAAAACAGGACCUGUGUUAUACAUGAUCCAGUUGUGAAUGAGUUUUUCUCAGUGAAAAUGAGAGGCAAAAAUUUUGCUUUGAAUUUGUCAGAAAUUGACAAUACUAAGGUGUAGUAUUUUGAAUCAAAAAAUUCAGAUAUUGCUAAAAUUCAGGAGAAGAUCACUGAUGAGGCAAUUGAAGGAGUUUAUGUUGUGAAAAUUCAUGAAAAGCUACCCAAAGAUGAUGGUGGUGACAAAACUGAUAAAAAACCAUACAAAAAUUUGAAGGAUUGCUUUAUGUCUCUGAUAGCAAUUAUUUUUUGUAUUGCAAAUUUCUUCUUCAGGUUCAUCUAUUACAUAUGGGAGUUCCACUUUCAAGUUGCAAAGAAAUCAUUUGAAUACAUCAAAAAAUUUGGUAUUGAUUUUGAAGUUUGGCUCAAGAAACAUUGCAAGACUGAUUACCAGAUUGCAGACAUUUUUAUGAAAGUAUUGUCCAAAACAAGGUUCAAAAAUUUAAGAAGACAAUUGAAAAUCUACAGCAAAAAUGGCAAGGAGGAGUGUUGAGAUAUGCCAACUUUUCCUACAGAUUUUAUCAGAUUGAAUUUGACAUCAAAAUAAUUUAGUUAUUAGAAAAAUAAGAAUAUUUGUUAACAAAAGAUCAUGUUGAUUUGUUAACAAAUAUUUUAGUUAAGAUUUGCCAGUAGAAGAAGAUUAUAUUUUGUUGAAAUUUUUAGAAUAAUUGUUAGUUGGAUAUUUUAUUAGUUUGUUUCAUAUAAUCACUAUAAAUAGUGAGUUGAUGAAUGUAGAACACAGGCUCAUUUUCCAUCAUUAAUACAAGUUUCUUAUAAGUUUUUUUUGCAAUACUAAGGUGUUGUUUUUUAGUUCAUGCCCCAAAAAACCAACAGACUGCUUCUGUUAUUUAUGACAGCUAAUAUGUAUCAUUAGUUUUGCUAUCAACAACUUAUCACUGCACAUGUAUACUUACUAAUGUGGUAGCCCAUCUCAGUAGAUCUAAUUGAAGGAGUUACUUAACAUAUUGCAAUCCUAUCUUUCUUUUUGUGAUAAUUUCAUGAACCUUCUUUAAGGUUUUUCGUAAUAUCACUUAGCAUUAGUGGUGGAGUCAAGUCUUAUAAUCAUUGGGGCCCGUACUGUAUUUCUAAAUUGAUAUUAUUGUUAUGUUAAAAAAAGUAGUUUACAUUAAGAUUGUAUUUUAUCUUGAAUUUUCAAGUUUUAAGCUUCUAACAUUAUUUCUUUUCCAUAUCCUAUUCAAUUUUGUAUGUUAAUAGCUUCCAAACAAUUUCACCAAUGGAGAGAUGUCUAGAAGAAAAUACUAAUAUUUUGGGGCCGGGGAGGGAAGGGGAGGGAGGGUAAUGUUUGGGGAGAUUGGGAUUUUUCAACAUAUAAGGGGCAAUGUAAAUCAAAAUUGUAUUUUCCAAAAUGUAGGGGUUACAAUUAUAAGAAAAAACUAAAAAACUUUCAAAUCUUUGAAGCCCAUUCUUCAUUACAGGAUGGCUCUAUCAUUCCUUAUCAUCCAUGAGAUUUUAAAAAUAUUCCUUACCUCGUCAGUUUGAACUGUCUAGAUAUUUCAUUAAAUGCCAUCAACUGACAACAUUACCCUUGCACUAUUAAUAACUAUUAUUUUACCAAAAAAAAUCCAAAAGGAAGAAAAAACUUUUAAAUAAAAAAUUAUGGACAAAAGAUAACCAAAUUGUCAUUCCAAAUUGGUUUGUAUUUCUCUGUGUCUCCAACUGGUACUUGAGCUUAGUCUAUAGUUGGUCACUUGAAUAAUUUUAGUAAAUAAUUAACACCUUGGAGAAUUUUAUCAGUCGAAUUUGUAAAGGCAGGCAAAUUUUUUUACAAAGUGCAUUCUAAUAAAUGAUGUUAUGGAAGUUGCAUUUAAAAUUAUAUUAAUAUUUUCAUACGUGUGGUAUGCAUGCAACCUCCACUUAUAAAAAAAGUUAUUGAAAAUAUUAGUUUAAGAAUUAUUUUGUAACCAAAAUUUUUUUAGCUUUACUAUUACCCUUAUUUAUCCUAUUUAUGAAGCUUACAAUAAAUAAAAAUUAAAAUAAGGCUAAAAGGUAAAUGUAAAAAUAUGAGAGGUUGCAUGUAAGAAACUUGAGUUAGAUGGAAUUCCUUGCUCCCACGCGUUUGCAGUUAUGAAAGCGGAAGAUAUGGACGAGAUUCCUAAAUCAUGCAUUCUGUUUAGAUGGACUCAGCAAGCAAAGCCAGCAAAAAAAAAAAUUCUAUUCAACUUGAAGAUUCAGCAAUUCAAACAGCUCAAUUUGGUGUUUAUAUGCAUUAAGUAAUCAAAUGUUUUUAUGCAGUUAAGACACAACAAGGAUAUGAUGAAGCUAGAGAUUGCAUUAUAAAUUAGCAUCUCGUUUCAAAAAUCUUUGGGUGAAUGACACGCCUCUAGUGCAUAAAGCUAAAUGAAAGGACAAUAUGAUGGAUGAGUCCACAAAGAGGAGUGAUUUUGAUGUUCCUGAUCCAAUUCUGUAACAAAGUUCAUAAAGCAAAAGUCCUACUUAUUUGUAUCUUUCUUGUAACAUUAUUUUUUCUUGCAAUUUUCUAUUUUAGUUAUCCAUCUGACACUAGUACGGGCAUAGAUACGGAUUAAGCAACUAGUUUGAGGAGUAAUAUUUUUUAUCAUAAAAUUAAUUUGAAUUGAAUUAACAAGUUGAUAUUUUCAAAAAAAAAGUGUAAUUUUUUGGGACUUAGAUUGUCAUUUUUGAAAAAAUUUUAAAAAACUAUAUUUUGGCAAUUGUUGUCUUUGACACUUAAUUGUCUAGACCAACUUUUAUCAGUUAUCCGCAUACAAUUAGUGUCAUUAAGAAUAAUUGAAGUUCUGAUAGCAAUACUCUAUUCAAAUGUAAAUAUCAACCCAAGUGACAAAAUAAAUGAUAACUAAACAAAUGAAAUAUGAGCUCAAUUAAUCGUGUUCAGACUACAAAUUCGGUUAAUGGAUAAUUAGUAUAUACUAAAUUGUAUUUCCAUUUGUAGAAAAAUAAUAUGCAUUUUAUAUCUACUAACGAAUAAAUUACUGAUGUUUUAAAUAAAUCAAACCUAAACUCAUGGUAUGAUAUGUAUGCAGUUGCUCACAUUUAUAUUUAUGCCAUCAUUCUUUCUUUCCAUUUUCUUUUUAAUAGUGCAAAUUUCUUUUAAUUAUAUUGGUAAAAAAAUAAAAUACUUUACUAAUUAUUCCAAUUUAUGUAGCAAGUGUUAGUAAUUUCAUUAGAAAUUAUGCUAUGUAAAAAUGGUUUAAUAAUUUUUUACUAAACAUAAAUACUGCAUACAAAAGAAAAAGAUAUUUGAUUUUGUUUUACUUUGAUUAGAAAAACUUGUGAUAGUAAUAACGAAAUGGUGACAGUGGUGCAAAUUUUGAAUCAACAAUCACGUACCCUUGAUUAUGGUAAUUUUUUAGUAGAUCAGACCAAUAUAUGCCAUAAAGUGGUAAGAUUUAAUCAUUUAUGAGUUGACAAUUUUAGCAGUCUAUACACCCUUCACCUAUAAAAAAUUAUGAUUAUUAUAAAAUGACAUUUUAUAAUAAUUUACAUAAUAUUUGCCAACUAAAAAUAAGUUUGAUAAAAAAAUAUGCAUACAAAUUAUAAUGUAAAUGAUACAAAAUAUAUUUGAAAGUCACAAAACUUAAUAUAUGGGUAAAUUUAAUAAUUUUCAAAGAUCAUGCUACAUUAAUACACCUUUAACUUUUAUAAUUGUGACCUAGAAAAUAAAUUUAUUAAAAUUUUACCAUUUUAUUAAAUUCAUAAGUAUUAAUAUACGGAAAUUGUGAUGUAUAGAUAAGUGCUAUUCUAUAUAUAACUCGAAAGAUUUGUUAUUGUCAUCCAAACUGUCUAACCUUUCACAAAUUCAAAAAUAAUUCAAAAAUUUGUAAAAUGACAAAUUAUUCUUACAUAUUUAUAAGGUCAUGUGAAAAAAUAGCCUUCAUAGUAUAUUUAAAAUGCUUGAAACACAUAACAUUUAUAAAUGAUGCAUACAAUCGUUUAUUAGACAUUUACGUUAUGAGCAAUUACUAACUAUAAUAUUUAGUUUCAAUCAUUAAUAAAAAAUCUUAGCAUUAUUUUAAAUAAACUUCUAAUACUUGUUUCAUAUAAGUUUCUUUAAGUAAAAUAAUAAAUUUAUGCCACAAACUAGUAAGUUUUGACGAUUAACCAAAUUUAUUAUUCUAUCAACAAGAUUUACUGUUAAUCUAUAAAAACUUACUAUUACUUGAAAUAAACUUACUCUCCAAAAAGUAAGUUUCCAAUAUAGAGUAGUAAUUUAUUUUAAAAAAGUAAUUUUUCAUAUAUAAUUCGAUUUGCCUCGGGUUAACUUACUAUUUUUAAUGCGAAAUUUACUAACCAAAUUUUUAGGUAUUAUCUUAUUUAGAUGACCGGUCCAACAGAUAAUCAAAUGAUCGUUAAACGUAUUUUUACCUGUCAUAUUAGGUAAAACCAGUUUCAUUAUCAUAAUUAUGUUACUUCAGACUUUUCCAAAAAUGGAAAAAAAGCAUUUGUUUUUGUUUGAUAGAUAGAAAAAACAUUUGCAAACUUGUCUCUAUACCCUUCUCAAUCCCUCCCUAUCCCUCUCGCUUACACAACAUCAUCUUCCACACCAAUACGACCUUACACAGAGUCAUUCUUACCGGUAUUUACUUCUCCAUCUUGAGUCAUUCUUACCAGUGAAAAUAAGUCCAACAAGUCUUGGAAGCCUAUCGGUUUGCGUCAUUCUCUGGAAAGGUCCUUCUUUUUAGCGUCGUUCUCUAGAAAGGUCCUUCUUUUCUUGAUUUCACCACGAGAAAGCUACUAGCAGACGAGGGAAGAGUAGCUCCCAAGGAGGGUCAGCAGAGCAAGGCAAACAGCAAAGGCACUACGCUUUGGUGCUUUUGCCAUUUCACUCUCACAAGACAAGAUCAUUAUACAACCUUGGGAUGGUCUAAAACUUGCACCUUUACUACAAAAAUUGGUUUUUUAAGUAAAACUUAGUACUUCAUCUUUGUGUUUUAAUUUUUUUCUUCCAUAUCUAAAACUUUCUAGGAACAUCAUUCAUGGCUCAAUGAGGCUGGAGUUGUGCUACUAGUCAUCAAGCAAGACCCAGGUUCAGGUAACGACCCUAUCUCCCAAUAUUUAGUAUAAUAUUUACUAGUAAUGAGCGGUAGUUUUGGACAUUAAUGUAUUUGUUAACCUAUUUUUAAGAUAUGUUGUUAUGAACUGAGUCUUAUGGAUGGUGAUGGAGCUAAUCAUAUGAUCAGCUACAAUGAUGAUCAAAUGAAAAGCAAUUGAAAGUUAGUUACUGCAAGCAAGCAAGAAGUUAACAGUUUGCUAGAAUAUUAGUGUUAGGUAAUAGAGGGAAUUUUGUAGUGCUUAUUACUAAAUCUUCAACCCACUUUCUGUAUAUAAAUAGAGGAUUGAUUGUAUCUUAGGCAGCAAUGAUUUGAGUUGUAAUAACUUCUCCUCUCUGGAAUAAUAAAAUCUUCUCAUUCUCCCUCAACCUCUUUUCUGAUACUUACCUUUUCUCAAUUCUCACUUCUUCUACUUUCUCCCUAAACCUCUUCUCUGAUACUUACCUCUUUCUCAAUUCUCACUUCUUCUACUUUCUCCCUAAACUCUCUUUUCUGAACCAGAUCAUUAUAUAUGUGUCCUAUAAUAUAAUAUUUAAUAUUUUAGUUUAGUAUUAGUGAGUAAUAUUUAGUAUAAUAUUUUACUAGUAAUGAGCACUAUUUUUUGAUGGUAAUGUGUUUAUUAAUCUAUUUUUUUAAGAUAUGUGUCCUAUAAUAUAAUAUAAUAUUUUAGUUUAGCAGUAAUGAGGAGUGAGCACUAGUUUUGCAUAUUAAUGUAUUUGAAUAUUUGGAUGUUAAUGUAUUUUUAAGAUAUUUGGAUAUUAGGAUAUUAAUGUAUUUGUUAAUUUAUUUUUAAGAAAUAUGUUGGGCUAUUAUUGGAUUGGAAGUAAUCUCUUCACAGUAUAAAGCUCUCCACCCUGAAGAGGAGCACCAGUCAUUGUCUAUACAGAAGGCUAUCAACUACGUUAGAGACUACUACUAUAGCAUGCAAGUACCGGACGAUGUGAAGGAAGACGCAUACUCUUGUCAACGGGUAUUUGAAUACGCCAAUGGCUUGUUUGGAUUGAGAUGAUUUCAAGUAAAAUAAUUUGUUUUACAAAUUCCAACUAUAUUUUUAUUUUCUCAGUCACCUUUUUAUCUCAUAUAUAUCACAAUACAAAAAAAUGCUAUAGUAAUUAUCUCAAAUAAAUCAUCCAAAUAAACUCCUAUCCAAACAAACGCAAUGUUUGAAUGAGGAUUAUCCAUGGGAUCGUGCCAACAGGAGGUGUAAUCCACCUCAAAAUGUAAGUUUGUUCUAGUUAAUGUUUUCUGUAAUUUUUUUAAAAAUAGCUAAUACUAAAUAAAAUGUUUGAAUUUUUGUCUUUACAAAUAAAGCGAUUCUUUGCAAGAAGUUUUAUACAGCCAAGCACAAAGGAAGAAGUCAAUUUGGCACUCUCACAAUUUCCUCUUACUGGUGUAGUGUGUGUCUAUCAAAGCUUUAUCCGUCUCAAAGGAAGGGUUAGGAAAAAAAUCAACUAAAAUUAUGUAUAUGCACAAUCAUGUGUUUUGAUGUAAAAUUGAAUGUUAUUGCAUUGUAGGACAUUUAUCAUGGACCAACGGAGGAGGAAAAUUAUUUGGGACUUCAUGCAAUUUUGUUGAUGGGGUUUUGGGUCAAAGAUGGGGUUGAGAUAUUUCAAUCAAGAAUUCAUAGGGUACUGGUUUUGGACACAAUGGGAUUAGAAAAAUCAGAAGAGAGCUCGUCUCCAAGAUAAUGUAUCCUACGGAUAUAUUUUGGUGUCAUAGGGACUAAAAUCCUAUCAAGUAGGCCUUUCCAAAGGUAAGGAAGAGGACAAAGAUGGGGGUGGAAAUAAAGGAACAAAAGAAGUGGCAAAAGGGGAAAACUGGUGCUUCUUCCAAAAAUCAAUGGAAAGGGAGAAGGAAGCCUGGUGCUUUUCAACAAAUGAAGGUGUGAGUUCUACAUUUUGCAGUGUAUAUAUCUGUUGAGCCAAAACAUAUUUUAGGAUGUUAUUUAUUUUUGAUUAUGUGUUGAUUUUCAUGAAUGUUAACAUGGGCUUUGAUAAUAGGAUAUUUGAGGUUUUUCUUUCAAAAGUAAAAAUGAUUUGGGGAUACUUGUUCAUAUUCUGAACUCUCUUAAAGGUUAUUGUUAAUUUUUAAGCUUAUUACUUUCUCUGUCUCUGCUGCUGGCAAUUUGUUGACCUUGGUCGAUCAAUCCUUGGUUUGAUGAUUAACAAACCAAAAUGAAGAUUUGGGCUAAUGUUUUUAUGUGAGCAAUUUGUUAGAACAGAUUCUUGUGGCACAAAAGAAGAAGCAAAAACAGGGCACUCAUGUGGGACGUCCGAAAGGAUGAAGAACAUCAACGGACGCACGCAUCGGACGCACAUCGAUCGCAUCGGACGUCCGAGAAAUUUCGCAAAGAUUUGAUGACUCUCUGACGACGUUCGGACGCAGGGUUCGGACGUCCGACAGGUGGUUUGGACGCAGGGUUCGGACGUCCGACAGGCCAACGGCUAGUUUUGACAGCAUUUAAUAUUUGACCGUUGGAGAGACUUUUGGAGCCAUUUCUCACCUUCUAUAAAAACCCCAAAGCACAAGAAGACAAGGGACUUUUGCCAACACAAAAUACAAGCUUACAAGUGAGAUUUUUGAGUAGAAAGAUUCUUUGUUGGUUGUAUAAGGGGUUGGGAAAGUUGGGUUGUGAGGUUGCUCAAGUGAAGGUUAUUCUCUAGGAGGAGUAAAACCUUGGUGAAGGUGAUCCUAUCACUUGAAGUGGUAAAAUCUUGGUGAAGGUUGCCUCAUUUGUAUAAAAUAGUUCUUAAUUGGGUGAGUGAUCUUUCAAGUGUAGGUUGUUGAGGGUUAACUAGAAUUGUUGUAAAACUCCUUGGUUCAACCAAAGUGUGUUUGGGGUGAGGAAGGAGUGAGUCUUCACUUGUACAUCUUGGUUAGCAUCGCCAUCUAUUGAAGAAGCUAUUGGAUUCAUAUUUGGUUUGCAUUUCUUAUCUUUUCUCUUUAAUUAAGUUUUCUUUAUUGUGCUUAAAUUUGAUAUAUCUUUGUGCAUCAUUGUGAUAUUGUUUGUACUCAUUGGGUUGCACCGGGCACUUACAAUUGGUAUCAGAGCUUGGUCUCUUUUGAUCAAGUUUAACCGCUUAGAGUAAAGAUCAUGGCAACCAUAAAAGUUUCUUUUUUAGAAGGGCAAUCUAUUGAUAGACCACCUAUGUUUAAUGGUUCUCAUUUUAGCAUGUGGAAACAAAGAAUGAUGAUUUUCUUACAAUCCGUUUAUAUUGAAUUAUGGUAUGUGGUAGAAGAUGGUACUUAUGAAGUUAGAAUAGUUGACUCUACCACUAAUUUGAGUAGAUUAAAGACUAGACAAGAAUUGAAUGAAAAAGACAAAAGAUACCUUUCUUUGAAUGCCAAGGCCAUGUGUAUAUUGUAUAAUGCAUUAGAUGUAAAUGAAUCUAGUAGGAUUAAAGGUUGUAAAUCAGCUAAAGAUAUUUGGGAUAAAUUGUGUGUAUUUCAUGAAGGUAACCAAGAUAUUAAAGAACAAAAGAAAUCUUUGCUUGUUUCUCAAUAUGAAUUUUUCAAAAUGCAUCCUCUUGAAAAUGUUGAUAAGAUGUGUAGUAGAUUUUGUGACAUUAUUGAAAAUCUUAAAUUGCUUGGAAAAGAAUAUUCUUUGGAUGAGAAAAAUAGAAAGAUUUUGAAUGCCUUGCAAAAAGAAUGGGAAAACAAAAUAAAUGCUAUAGAAGAAGCAAAGGAUUUAAAUUCUAUGUCCAUUGAAUCUCUUGUGGAUACCCUAACCUCUUAUGAAUUAAAGCUGAAAUUCAAAGUGCAAGAGGAAGAAAAUGCAAGAUUGUAUAAGAGAGGCAUUGCUUUUAAAGCAUCUCAAGUGGGGGAUAACCCAUCCUUCAUGGGUAAUGAAAUCAUGGAAGUGGACAAUGAUAUAACUCCUCACAUCAAAAGUUUCAAGAAGAUCUUCAACAAGAGAUGUUCAAGAGGAGAUUGCAAAAUUACAUGGGAUGAAUGCAAUUCAAAAAGAGAAAAAGAAGAGUUGGCCCAAAUGGCACUAAUGGCCGUUGGAGAAGAUGAGGUAAGUUCUUAUCACUCUUCUUGUGAUGAAGAUAAUGAAGAUGAUGAUGUGAAAAUUCUUAUGAUUAAAAUGCAUAAAAGUUUGAGAAAAUCUUAUGCUAAAAAUAAAGAUUUGAAAACAAAAAUAAAUGAUUUGUUGGAAGAAAACUCCAAACUUUUUCAAGAAAACAAAUGUUUGAGAAUGGAAAAUGAUGAUUUAAAAAAUCAAAAAAGUUUUUGAUUGCAAAAAUAAUUUGAAAAGGAAGUUGGAAGAGAAAACAAAGUUUUAUGAAAAAAUGUUGGAGGAACAAAAUGUGUUAAAGAAAAGAAUUAAUGAUUUGAACGAGUUUCUCCAAAACGAAAAACAAAAGUUUUCUCAAACAAAAGAAAACAAAUCUUUUCAAGGCACAAAUAAGUUUGCUAUGAUAAGAAAUAAGAAAAUUAGUUGCAUUAAAUCCACCUAUGUGCAAAAUACUUCUAUCAUGUGUCACUUUUGUUGCAAAUUUGAACAUAUGCAAAAUGAUUGCUAUGUAAAGAAAAAUAUGAGAAAAUGCAUGAAAUCCAUGUGGAUUGCUAGAUCAUGUCGUAUUAACUCCCAAGGACCCUAUAAAGAAAGGGUACCAAAUGAAAUUUCUCAUAUUUAGGUACAUCAUGAAGAUUUGAUCCAAGGAGUGCUGAAUGGUUGUAAGUACAUUUGAAAAUUUUGAUAUUCAAUAUGGUCUUGAUUUGAAAAAUAAAGGGGGAGUUUGUUUUUUUUGAUUGAUGCCAAAAGGGGGAGUAGGAUUUAUUGAAAUUUCUUUGUAUGUUGGCACUUUCUAAGGGGGAGCUUUAUUUGAACUUAUUUGAUAAAAGAAAUCUUCAUUUUGUUUGUCAUCAUCAAAAAGGGGGAGAUUGUUGACCUUGGUCGAUCAAUCCUUGGUUUUGAUGAUUAACAAACCAAAAUGAAGAUUUGGGCUAAUGUUUUUAUGUGAGCAAUUUGUUAGAACAGAUUCUUGUGGCACAAAAGAAGAAGCAAAAACAGGGCACUCAUGUGGGACGUCCGAAAGGAAGCUAUCGGACGUCCGAAAGGAUGAAGAACAUCAACGGACGCACGCAUCGGACGCACAUCGAUCGCAUCGGACGUCCGAGAAAUUUCGCAAAGAUUUGAUGACUCUCUGACGACGUUCGGACGCAGGGUUCGGACGUCCGACAGGUGGUUUGGACGCAGGGUUCGGACGUCCGACAGGUGGUUCGGACGUCCGACAGGCCAACGGCUAGUUUUGACAGCAUUUAAUAUUUGACCGUUGGAGAGCCUUUUGGAGCCAUUUCUCACCUUCUAUAAAAACCCCAAAGCACAAGAAGACAAGGGACUUUUGCCAACACAAAAUACAAGCUUACAAGUGAGAUUUUUGAGUAGAAAGAUUCUUUGUUGGUUGUAUAAGGGGUUGGGAAAGUUGGGUUGUGAGGUUGUUCAAGUGAAGGUUAUUCUCUAGGAGGAGUAAAACCUUGGUGAAGGUGAUCCUAUCACUUGAAGUGGUAAAACCUUGGUGAAGGUUGCCUCAUUUGUAUAAAAUAGUUCUUAAUUGGGUGAGUGAUCUUUCAAGUGUAGGUUGUUGAGGGUUAACUAGAAUUGUUGUAAAACUCCUUGGUUCAACCAAAGUGUGUUUGGGGUGAGGAAGGAGUGAGUCUUCACUUGUACAUCUUGGUUAGCAUCGCCAUCUAUUGAAGAAGUUAUUGGAUUCAUAUUUGGUUUGCAUUUCUUAUCUUUUCUCUUUAAUUAAGUUUUCUUUAUUGUGCUUAAGUUUGAUAUAUCUUUGUGCAUCAUUGUGAUAUUGUUUGUACUCAUUGGGUUGCACCGGGCACUUACACAAUUUGUGUUGCAAACUUAGGGGGAUUGGCUUUAAGUAUGAGAAAUGCCAAUUUUGAGAAUUGUUUAACCUUUUUAUGUUUCUCUAGAACUGUAGCUUAUUAUAUUCUGUAGGUUUAACUUGUGCGUCUAUAAACAUAUGGUACCUCAUUGUCAUAAGAUUCUGAUUUUUAGUCCUAGCUUUUCAGCGUUAAUAUUGGCACAUGAUUACAUGCUGAUCUCAAUAUCUUGAUCCUGUAGAAUUCCAAUAUGGACAAGCUUAAACUAAAUGUGCCAAAGUUGCCUUAACUUGAACUUAAUGCUUUUAGCCAGAGACUGCAAAAGAAUAAGAAUCAUGCUUAUAAAAUGCCUUAACUCUCGUAUACUUGUUUCCAGCAUGAAAGCAUAAAAUGCUUGAAAUGGUUAUCACCACCGUGAAUCUAGUCUUCUCUUCUCAUGCACUGCAUUUUAGUAGUUCAAAAAUUUGAGUAGUUUAGGAAUCUAACUUUUUGUCAAAUACUUGCUAUUUAUUUCAUGCUUGGAUCUACGACUUGUUUCCUGUUUGCCAUUUCCUUGCAGGUUAACAUAGCUCUUCAUGUUCUUACAUGCCCUGUGGCAGAUCAGGUUAACUGUCUAUUGAACCCUUGGUUGCUCUGAAGGCCGUGAUUGCAGGUUAACUUCAAUGCAUGGGCCUUGCCUUCCAGAGUUCAUGAUACUUUGAAGGCUGUGGUUGCUCAUUACAGUGCAAGCCAGCUCAUAACUCAAAGAGAGGUGAGGACCAGAUAUUUGCUCCAUUAGAAUUCUUUAACUGUAAGGGGAAUAAAGGAAAACUUCUGAUAUACAAGAACUUGUUCUUAUCUGGAAAUGCAUUUUAUCAGUCACAUAAACAUGAAAGUGACAUAGACACGAGCCUUUCUAAGUAUGACAUUGAUCUUUCUAAUAGAUAUCUGUCAAGUGCUUAGUUUUUAGUUGUGCUCAAUCAAACAUUCAAUGGAUCCUUCUUUAUCUUUUCUAAGAUUACAGGAGGUAUACAUUUGUUGAUUUUUGUUUAUGCAGACUGUCAGUCAGGAAAUUCGGGGCCUUUUGGCCAGAAAAGCAGCCUCCUUUAACAUUUCACCUGAUGAUGUUUCUAUAACCUGUCUGACUUUUGGAAGGGAAUUUACUGCUGCAAUUGAGGCAAAGCAAAUUGCUGCACAAGAAGCUGAGACAGCUAUAUUUGUUGUGGAAAAAGCUAAAUAGGAGAAUAAAAGUGCCAUAGUCAGAGCAUAGGUAAGAUAAUUUCUUCAGUUACUUGAACAUUGUAUGUGCAACCAGUUUCACAAAACACAAAAGUUGUAACUCUUUGAGUUAACUUUUCAUGCUUCAAGAAUCAUUUAAUUUGGAGUUCUGCGGACCGAGAUAUGGCCAAAAUAUCAUCAACUGGUCAGAGCUCUGUUUCAUGUUUCGAUCAUGCAUAUGUACUUCUGUAUCUCGACUUUUUGACAAGAAAGACGACUAAACUGGAUUUCGAUAUCUUCAUACCAAAUGUAGAUCUCUUUCUUAGCUUCAAAAUGGUUAAGAAUUAUCUCAAUCCAAUACUUGUAUCUCAAGAUAUUGCCAAAAUACCACAAGAUGUCAAAACUGUCUUCACUUGCAUUCGUUCCUUUAAAUGUUUUGCACUUCAUGUCUUCUUUAAACCACUUCAAUUCAUCAAUAAUCAUCCAAUUCUCUUCUCAAUUCAUGCCAAUUGAUGAUUGAAUCACCAAACUUACAAAAACAUGAAAUUUUCACUAUUAAAAUUCAUAGAAAUGUAAUUUUUGCCACUUAAACCACAAAAUGUAUAUUUUUACCAAAAUCUGGUCAGAGCUCUGUUUCAUCUUUCGACCAUGCACAUGUACUUCUGUAUCUCAACUUUUUGACAAAGAAGACGACUGACUGGAUUUCAAUGUCUUCGUACCAAAUAUAGAUCUCUCUCUUAGAUUCAAAAUGAUAUAAGAAUUACCUCAAUCUGAUGCUUGUAUCUCAAGAUAUUGCCGAAAUAUCACAAUGUGUCAAAACUAUCUUCAGUUGCAUUCCUUCCUUUGAAUGUUUUGCACUUCAUGUCUUCUUUAAACCACUUCAAAUAAUUAAUAACCAUGUAAUUCUCUUCUCAAUUCAUGCCAAUUGAUGAUUGAAUCGCAAACCUACAAAAACAUGAAGUUUUCGCCAUUAAAAUCCAUGAAAAUGCAAUUUUUGCCAUUUAAACCACAAAAUGUAUAUUUUUCCAAAAUCCUAGUUAAUUAGUUAUAAAACUAAAUAAAACACACCAAAAUUAGCUAAUAAAAUAUACUAAAAAUAUGUAAAAUAUAUACUUAUCAAUACCAAUUAAGUUGAGAUGGAACGUUAAAGACAAUAAUAGCAUAGUCCGGAGACAACAAAACAAAUAAAGAAGAAGUUUAUAGUACAUACUUUUGAAUGGAAAAAUUCCUCUUCUAAUAAGCUCUCUAUAGUGCAAGUAUCCAAUGAAAGAACAAGCAGAAGCAGUCCAAAAUUGAACUUCAAGGAUGCCCAAAUCUUCAGCAGCUUUGAUGACAAAGCGCAUGCCACCAUUAGAAAUCACACAACUAACAGGGGGCACUUCAGAAGACGAGUUCAGUUUAAUCAAAAGCUCAUUAAAAGGAACCAAACAAUUUUUUCUGACAGAAUCACAAAUCGGAGGUACAUCUUGAGUGGCAUCUUUAUCUGAUGGUGGCAUCCCAUCAGGGAUAGUCUCAAACCUGAAAUCAUGGAACCUUUUAACUGAUGCUGGCCCUUUUGAUCAAAUCAAACGUUUGUGGUUAAAUUCAGUGUUGACAAAGGUUAUAUGGAACCCUUUGGCAUGCAAAACCUUAGCGAGUCUUAUUAAUGGGUUAACGUGGCCUUGAGCUGACAAUGGAACCAAGACUGCAUGAGGUUUUUCUGUGGUUCUUGUGGUUUCCAGAGAACCCAUUUUCUAUUUAAAUGAAAGUCGAAGGCGAAGUAUUAUGCAUAAGUCCCUUAUUGAUGGUGCCAUUUAUGGGAUUUGGGGCAAAAAUUAAUUCAGACCAUACACAAAGGUCUACACAAGUCAUACACUAUACUACAAAAUAUAGUGCAAAACAUUUGUUUCAUGGGUCACACACGUCCAAUGAAAAUCAAAGUGAACUUUUUAAAUUUUUGCUGUGCAUAUUUAAAAGGGUUAAUUACACUUUACUCCUUGAAUGUGGUGUUCAUUUGCACUUUCCCCUUGAAUAAAUAAAAGGCACUUUGUGCUUGUAGAAUUUAGGGAAAAAAUACCUUCUAAUAAAUCUGCUUAACAGAGUAGGUAUAGAAUAACAUUUAUCAUGUCCAAAAAAAAAAAGAAAAAAAUCUGCUUAACGGAUUAGCCAAAAAGACAAAUGAGCCCUUUAAUUAAGUUUUAACUAAAGUAACAAAAGUUAAUUAUGAGCAGAUAUAUUUUUCAAAAAAAUAAACAUGAAAUGAGGAUAUAUAUAUAUAUUUAACUAUUACUGAUUCAUUUACUGCAUAUUUAUUUACUGUAAACAAACUUGAAGAUGGUUCAUCAAUAUUCUAAAAUGACCAUGUUGUAAUGCAAUAAGAUCCCAUUAAAUAUGUUUGCAAUAACAUAUAGUCCACUUUCGCUAGUAAAAUAUUUUAUCAAAUAAUAGCAGCCUUUUUUUAUUGUUUUCAUAAGUUGAGCUUAAGAAAAAUAUUAUAAUUCAAUUAUCAAACUUUAAGCAUGUACAAAUGAAUGAAUAAUCAUAUAAAUUGGAUGAGGAAACACAUUUUUUUGAGUUAUUUUAUGAAGGGUAUAAUUAUACAAUAUCCUUAACCGUCAAAGUUUUAAACAAUUUAUUAGUUAAAAUUGCAAGUAUCAUAUUUUUCUCGGAGCAAAGAGAAUAUUGUUUGCAUUUAGAGGGAAAAGUGCUUAUUAUUCCCACAUGUAGGAGGCAAACUAUAAUCAACUUUUUGAGAAUUUGAAACUUCAAUAAUUCAUGACCGGGUUACCUUUUUCCCACGGGGAUGUCAUGCCACAAGAUGGCCUAUGCAGACUAGUACACUUGUCCAACAUUAAUUGUAUAAUAUAGCUUAAGAAUUUUAUGGCUAAAAAAAUUCAUUUUUAAAAGUACACAAUAAAGACAUAUAGUGACCCAAAGACGUCAACCAAAUGUUAUUAAAAGCAACCUCUUCCUAUUUAUAUUGCCAACUUUUUUGGGUGAAAUCCUUAAAAAUUAUUAUAUGAAACAUGGGAAAAGUUUAGAGAUUUGUUUCGAAAAUGUCCAUACCAUAGAUUUCUCGAUUGGCUAAUUGUACAAAUCUUCUAUAUUGGUUUAUCCUUUUCUACGAAAACUACUAUCGAUGCAGCCGCAAGUGGAGUUUUGAAGGCAAAAUCAUCUCAAGAAUCUCAAGAUUUUAUAGAGAAAAUGGCAGUAAACAAUUAUCAAUGGGCUAAUGAAAGAGAUAAUCUAAGGCACCUAACAUUUAUGAUUGAAAGUGCUUAGUGCUCAAAUGAGCAAUAUGAUGAAGGUGUUGAAUAGACAAGUCGGAUGUAGUACACAUUCUUCUUCCAUUGUGCAUGUUGCUUGUUGUUUUAUAUAUAGAGGUGAUCAUGAGUCUAACGAGUGUGUUGAUAUUGAGUAGGUUCAAUUUGUCAAUAAUUACAUUAGGAAUGCUCAAAAUAACCCAUACUCAAAUACAUACAAUUCGGGAUGGAGAAAUCAUCCAUAUUUUGAGUGAAAAGAUUAAGGCAGCCCUCAAAGAUUGACUAAUCUGUCGGAAUUCUAAUUAAGGCAACCACAGACGAAUACUAAACCGGAUUGGGAGAUAGCGAUCGAGAAGUUAACUAAGGGCAUUUCGAAAAGAUUUGAGCAAAUUGAGGGGCGGUUAGACUAAUUGAUUGGGAUUAUAGAAAUAUGGGGGUUCAAAUUGGUCAAAUUGCUAAUUCAAUUAACAAUAGAAAUUCUGGCAAAUUGCCGAGUAAAACUGAAAUGAAUCCAAGAGAACAUGUCAAUGCUAUCACUCUUAGAAGUGAUAAAAUGGUUGAGGGACCUAACUUAGGCAAUUCAAGUGGUGAAAAGAUAAGGAGCAAGUAAUUGAAGGAGUGAAAGAAAUCCAAAAUGAUCAUGUUGUAAUUGAUAUAGAAGUACUUCCUCCUAAUUUAAAGUUUAAUGUGAUUCCUUUUCCACACAGGUUGUAGAAAGAUGGGAAAGAUCGAGAGUUUGAGAAAUUUUCAAAAUUUUUAAACAAUUACACAUUAACAUUCCUUUUAUUGAUGCUAUUACACAGAUUUCCUCUUAUGCGCGUUUCUUAAAGGAUAUCAUGCCAAAAAAGAAGAAAAUUGUGGAUAAUGAGAUGAUAGUGUUAACGAAAGAAUAUAGUGCAUUGAUUAAGAACAAACUCCCUCCUAAAUUGAAAGAUCCGAAAAUUUUUUUUAUUCCUUGUACUAUUGGUCAACUGCAUUUUUCUAAUGUUUUAUAUGAUUUAGGUGCGUGUCACUUAUGCCACUAUCAGCUAUAUGGAAGUUGGGACUUCAAGAGUUGAAAGCUAUCAAUAUCAUAUUGCAAUUGGCGGAUCGAUCAAUUACACAUCCAAUUUAUUUUGAAAAAUGUGCUCAUAAGCUAUAGAAAAAUCUAUUAUACUGAGAUUGUUGUCUUAAAUAUUGAGAAAGAUGUAAAAAUGUCAAUUAUUCUAGGAAGACCGUUUUUAACCACUGCACGAACCAUAAUUGAUAUGGAAAAAGGAAAGUUUAUAUUACGAGUUGAUGAUGAGGAGUUGAAAUUUAAUUUGAUUGAUAAAGAUAGGGGUAUAGAGUCUAUUGCUCUUGUUUCUAAUAUGCCAUGGGACGAAAAGAUUAAUCAGGGAAUGAAUGAAGAAGUCAAGUCUACAAAUCUCCUUGGUACUAACUUUCAUGGUGUAGGAUUAAGGGAGAUGAGGACAAGGACAGAAGUUGGUUUGAUAAAGUCGCCAUUCCAAGAAGGAAGAGGUGAAAGAUUGAGUCAAUUUGAAAAAGACCAGCAAAUUCUACACCAAGGUGAAGUCAAGUCUUCACAUGAAAAGUCUAAUACUCCUCCUUGGCAUUUGAGGAAGUUGGACUUUGGAGAUCAAUGCAUGGCUCAUCACACGGUGGAUUAGUUGGGGAGUUUUGACCCAUGGGAAGAAAAUCACUCCCCAAUGUUCGAAAAAUAUCCAAAUCUUUUGAGUCAAGCCAACGACUAUAAAUAAAAACGCUAGUUGGGAGGCGACCCAAUGUUUAUGUUAUAUAUUAUAGGUUCGACAAACAGAAGCAAAGAUGACCAUUUGAGGUGGAAAAGACGAAGUGUGAUCAAGGAACUCAAUUUCUCGAUUUGUGUUAAAGGUGUUUUCGAUCUAUUAAAAAGGGAUAAAAUGUAUGUUUCGAUCAUUUUACAUAUGCAUGCGAUGAUAAAUUUAACAAAAAAUGAUCUAGAAUGCAUUUUGAGUUUUUAGGGUAGAUUUGCAUAAUUUUGAGAAACUUGAAAUUUCUACAAAAUUUGCAGAAGAAUACGCACAACUUAGAAAGACGCGACUUUGAAUUGCGUGUUCUAUUAUUCGCGUAUUCAGUUCUACAAGUUCAUUGCAGAAAACGCGAUUUCGAAUAUACAACUCAAAGUCGCGUAUUCACAUCUGCAAAGAUAUAACUAAAAACACAACUUCAAAUACGCAACUUGAAGUUGUGUAUUCAAUUCUAAAAUGUUUUCACAGAAAACGCAACUUGCAAUACGCGACUGGAAGUCGGGUAUUCUUCCCUUGAUACAAAACCCUAAAACGCGCGUAUUCUUCCCUUGAUACAAAACCCUAAAACGUGACUUUCCUUUUCAGUUUUCUUCUUCAUUCAUCUUCCAGCCGCCUUUUCCUUCAGCCCAAAACUCCUCUUCACAAAAUUCCACUUUUUGCUCAAUUUCUUGCUAGAUAGCAUCAACCCAUUAUCAUUUAGUCCUCAUAAAGUCUUUUUAACUGAUUGAAAUCGACGAAAAAUAACUCAAAAUCGAUUUUUAAGAAAUUUGGAGCUAGGAUUUGUAGUUCUUAAAUUCAUCAAUUGGAGGUCAAUUAGAGUGAUUUUCAUAAGGCUUUUGCAUAAUCAUCAUCUCCAAACAUCACUCUUUGUGAUUGAAGUGAGUUUCUUCAAUAAGUUUUUGUAUUUUAGAAGUUGAUAUUUCUCAAUUUCCUGAGUUUUCUGACAUCUUCUAAUUUUGAAUUUUUGAUGAUGUUUAUUGAAGUUUUUGGCCUCUAUUAUAAUUAUUUAGAUUGUUUAAGCAUGUUUACACGUUCAAAUGUAGCAAAUUGAUGGAUUAUUAGUUCUUUAAAUUUUUAAUUUAUUAUAUUUGGUUAAAACUAAAAAAUUAGUUUGGAAUGUUAUUGAACCAAUUGUGAUAAAUGAUUAUGAUUCAAAAUAGUUUGUUGAUGAUAUUUUAGCAUGUGCAUUGUAUAUAGAGAGUGAUUUGAUGAAUUUUGUGAGUUAUUAGGAUGAUUUUUGUUUAGCUAUAUUUAUAGUUAACUGUGCAUUAUUGUUGCUAAUUAUAGAUUGUUAUAAUCAUGAUUAUUGCUAGUUUGAUUAAUUAGGAUAUAUUUGUUGCCUAUUUUAAUAAAUUGAUGAUUUUGGACAAUUUUGGACAUGUUUUAUGUCAUUUCUCGUAUGUCAUAAUAGUAGUCAUUUAAGUAUAUUUACUUGAUUUCUUAUAACAUGAAGGGAUAUAUUUGUGAUUAUUUGAGCCAAUUAUGGUUGUUUAUUGUUAAAGCUAUGAAAUAUGUCUUAGUGCAUGUGGAUAUUAGAAUCAUUUUUCUUAGGUACUAUGGCAAGAAGAAAGCAAGUUGUCUACUCAUCAUUUAGUAGUGAUGAAAUGGAGGUGAGUGAGAAUAUUGAAGAAAGUGUAGAAGAGAUGUCAUCUUCACCCCAAUCGGUAAGGGGACUACAAGGGAAGGGCACUUUUCAAAGUGCUGAAGUUACCGCUUUGAUAAUGCCAAGUUUACAAGUCUUAGGAAUCAAGAGUGGCACCAAACACAUGAUAAUUUUGAGUUUCUCUUUGAGAUGCAUAUGAGUCCAGAAAUUAAAGUGGUUUAUUGUAUUUCGGAGGCAUUUAACCAAUUUGGUUGGGCACCGAUGCUCACAUUACUGACUCACUAUUAUCCUGACUUGGUGCGCGAGUUCUACGUUAAUAUUGAUAACAAAGCACAUCAUAGUGGCGAGAUAGUGGAGUCAUGGGUGCAUGGAAGGCACAUUGUUUUAUCGUGGGAGUACUUAACUGCUAUUUUGGGUUGUAACAACCAAGGUCGGGCAGUCGAUCUGAAUAAGAGUUUGGUCGUACCCAAUAGGCGAUGGUAUUCAUCGUACGCCAUGACUAGGUUUGGUUUUGAAUACCAACCUUUUAGAUUUUCAAGGAAGGAGACAAUGGUGGCAAGCGUCUUAAAAUCUCGCCAUUGUCUCAUUAUCUAUAUGAUGGUACACAAUCUCAUACCCAAAAAGAUGGGUCAUACGGAGAUCCGAAAAAGUUAUAUUUAUUUUUUUGAUUAUAUGUUUCAUAAUCGGAAAUUCUCCUACACUCGAAUUCCAUUGUCAAACAUCAUCAUUAGCUACAUAAGGUCUACGGAGAGGUGAAGGACUAUUUCGUUCAAAUUGGCAUUUUCUCGUCUUCUCUCUUUGGUGUUCGAGCGGCUAGACGUUAACCUGCAGGGGGUAACUCGGAAAUUUGUUAAGCCUAAAACUAAGUUAUCGAUUUUUUCCCUUCGUCGUAUGGGUAUUGGUACAGAAAACAUUCCUUAGCCUGUUCGAGAAUGUAGACAAAAGGCACGACAUAGCUGAGAGGAAGCGGGACCUUCUACUGCUGCACCUCCUCCUUCACCAUCACAAUCGAAUUGGCAGCGGCUCUUUACUCGCUUGGACGAUAUCGAGUAUCAGUUGGAACGAAUGGACACUUGCUUGGAGAGAAUUGAGUAACACCUAGGCAUUCCUCCACCUCAUGACGGCGAUGAAGAUGAUGAUAAUGAUUGAAGCUGCACCUCUAGAAUAGCUCUUAUUAUUGUUUCCUGAUUUUCUUGUCGUUUUUAAUCUUUUGUUUGUAGGAUAUUUAACUUGCCCUUUUUCUUUUACAUUUCAUCUUUUGGAUAGUGUUAGUAGAUGUUUGUAUUUUAGCAAAGGUUCGUGAUUCAUGAUUGAUCUGGAUCUCAGCCAUUGCAUUGGGGAGUACUUUUUUUCUAUCUUUUGUUAUUUUUCUUUCCCUACACAUUGAAGACAAUGUGUGUUUUAAGUGUGGGGAAGAAAAUGUGUGGUAGUUUAAUAUGUUUUGUGUUUAUUACUUGGACUUGAUGUUUGGAAUAUGAAUUGCACUUAAUUGUUGUUAAUCUUGGGUUGCUGGCAUUUUAAGGAGAAACUCUGUCAAAAUUUUUUCAAAAUCUUGUUCAAAUUUGCCCCAAAAAAUUUUAAAUUUUUUCAAUUUUAUCCAAAGGGCAACAAGUUUCACAUUUUUAGUAACUCAAAUUCUUUCUAUUUUUGAAAUAAAUAUAUGUGAUUUGAAAACUUCUUUUCUCAUUUAACUUGAAAAUAAUGUGAUCGUAAUUUGUGUUUUUAUAGGAAAGUAUAUCUUAUAAAGUGGAGAAAAUUAUGCCUACAUUUUGCAUGAUUGAUGAAAUUUCUUCUCUUUACUUGAUUUUAUAAGUUAAGUGAUAAAUAUGAUCAAUAAUUUCAAUACUCAUCUCAUGAUUAUGCUUUUGAGGGACUAAUUAUUAUCUUUAUUUCGAGAAAAAAGUUAAAAAAAGGAAAGUAAAAAAGAAAAAAGAGAAAAUAAAAGUUUUUCUACUUCAAUGGUUUUUGUACUUAAUAAUCAGGAGUCUUCAUCUAUAAAUGUUGACUUUCGUAUAAAACAGUACUUGAAUUAAGAGUAUGCAAAGUAAUUUGAAUAUGUGAAGUGUUGAAUAACUGGAGAUCUUCAUCUAAAAUUAUCGAUCGCCACGUCAAAAGACACUUUCACAACUUGAGUAAUAUUUAGCUAUGCUAUAUGAAUAAACUCUUUUCUAAAUUUGAAUAAGACCAUAAUCAUAUGUUUAGGAAGCAAUUGUAUUGAUCAUAGGAAUCGCUUGAUUGUGAAAUUGGGUAAGGAUGAGAAAUUGAAUUGAACUAUUUAUAACUAGAAUAUAAUUACCUUUCCUUUACUUGAUAUUAUGAGUAUUUGAGAAUUAAUGAAUGAUUGUAUAAUGGUUGUUUACCUUAUUUUUGAGAAAAUGAAGUUGAAAUUUGCACAUAUGUUUAUUUUCAAAAUAUUGGAUCAUUGUUAGCUUAUAUUUUUAAUUGUUUGAAGACAAUCAAUGGUUCAAUUGUGGGGGAGUUUGACAAGAGCAUAUUUUACGUGUUUUUAGUGUGUUUUAUUAGUUACUUUUGAUGAAUUUUAUUUAGUUUUAUAGCUAAUUUAUUAGGAUUUUAGUGAAAAUGCAUAUUUUGUGGUUUAAAUGGUAAAAAUUACAUUUUUAUGAAUUUUAAUAGUUAAAGCGUCAUGUUUUUAUUAGUUUAAUGAUUCAAUCAUCAAAAGAAAUGAAUUGAGAACAUUUGUGGAUGAUUGUUGAUGACUUAAAAUGGUUUAAAGAAGAUAUGAAAUGCAAAACAUUCAAAGGAAGAAAUGCAAGUAAAGACAGUUUUAAUAUCUUGAGAUAUUUUGACUAUAUCUUGAGUUACAAGCAUCAAAUUGAAGUGAUUCUUAUACCAUUUUGAAGUAAGAGAUAGAUCUAAAUUUGAUAUAAAGAUAUCAAAAACCAGUUCAGUCGUUUUACAGAAGUGCAUGUGCAUGAUCGAAAGUUGAAAUAGAGCUCUGACCAGUUAAUGGUAUUUUGGUAAUAUCUCGGUUCACAGAGCACUAAAUUUGAUGAUUCUUGUAGCAUUGGAAAGGGUUACAACUUUCAUGUUUCGCACAAGAGCUAGUUUAGUGUCGAUCAUUGAGAAAAUAUCAGUUGAAAUGAUGUCAAAUUCACAGAAGUGAAUACAUUACUCUUGAAUACGUGAGUUGAAGUCGCGUAUUGUAGCCAGAUUUUUUGCAACUUACUCUGCUUUCAUACUACUUUCUACCUCUACUCCAGACAAGAAUUUGGGCUGCACAUGUUCAAGGAACCUUUUGAAAGAAAAAAGGAGCUCUAUGUUUUAUCCAAAAACUACUUUUUGACUCUCUUAACAAGAGAAAUGUAAGAAUCAUUAGAGGAGAGGAGAGUAGGACAUUUAUAAGGAGUUACCAUAAGAUUUAGUAUUAGAGUUUAGUGGUUAGUCUUGUUUUGUUCUCUCUAACUAGAACUUUUGUGAGAAUAAUUGAAGACUUCAUUGUACAACUCAUUUGUUGGAGAAAUAGAAGAUCAUUGGGAGUUUCUUCACUAAUCUUGGCUAAACUUUCUUUAUCUAUCUCUUACUUGUGAUUCAAUAUGUGUUCAUGUAAUGAAGCAAUGUUCUUUCUAGUGAUAUAUUAUAUGAGUAGCUAAAUUUCUAGAUUUAGGUAGUAGAUGAAUCUUAUGGCUACUUAAUAUGAAGUGAAUAUGAUUUACACUUGUUACACCUUAUAUUAACUUUUUAUUUAUGCAUGCCUAUCACUUAUUUUGCUUGAUCACCAAUAGCAAGCUUAUAGUUGUUAUUAUUCAAUGAAAGUUGGUAAUAAUGAUGGAACAACAUAAAUAAACUUGAGUAGUAUUCUCAUGAGAAUAGAGAUACACUUAAGUAGAUUAACUUGCAUUUCAUGUAGGAAACAAGAGUAGAUCUAGUUAUUCAUCAUGAGAAUAGGGAAAACUAGUUUAUUUUAGCCAUUUUAUCAUGAGAAUGAGAUUUGGUAAUAUUAGAAAUGAAUCCCUAGUUAAACAAGAGUUGUAACAAGAGGUAAAUUUAUUUACUUGUAUCUUUUAUGUCAUAAGUGAAACGUAUAUCUCUAGACUCAAGUAUUUGGUGAAUUUUCUCCAUUGUUACCUUGCAAAUAUCUAGUUAAGACUAGUAGAUAAUAGUAAUUAUAACAUCUUUUGCUUAAAUCGAUCAUUAGUCUAAAUAAUAGAGUAAGUAAGGACCUAGUACUUGCAAAGUUACUCUCUGUGGGAUCGACCCGAUAUUUGCACUGAACUCUAAUUUGACAUGUAUACUUGCAGUCAAAAUGGAUAUAUUUCGGAAUUAAAUUUGUACUUAUAUAAAAAAACCCGUCACUAUCCCAAAUUGAUGGUGUUAUUUAUAGCAUAUGGGGCAGAAAUUGAUUUUAAUUUUUUUUGGGACAAAGGUGUACAAAAUCAUAUGUUGUAUGCUAUGUUUUCAGACUGGACCAGGAAUCGAGUCGACAGAGUUGAGGGGUUAAGGGUCAAUGGAAUCGAUAGAAGGUUGAAUCGGAUGGCAUCAUAAAUACGUCAUAUAUAUAUUAAUAAUAUAUAAACAAAAUAAUAUAUAAAAUUUAUCAUUAAAUUGGUGGCUUACAACUUCAUUUACAAAUUUGAUAAGUUUACAUUUAGUCCAAAAGGAUUCAAUUUAAAAAAAAUUUAAAAUUAUAGCUAAAAAUGUGACUUGGAAAAUAUAUUAGGUUAUUCUACACUUUGUUAAAAUAAUGAAGGGCCAAAAUGCAUUUAACAUAAGCUUUUAGGGUAUUCAUCAAUGCUGACAAAUAUCAAACCUAAUCCAUCUUCUUCCUUAUUCUUUGCGACCAUCAAUUCCUCUCUCUCUCUCUCUCUCAAUCUUCAUUUUUUCUUCUUCUUUUUCUACACUUGAACUCUAUUUUUUUCCUUUCAUCACACACAAUAAACAAACAUGAUAACUUUCUCUUUUCUUCAUUUUUCCUUUUCCCCUCUCUCUCUUCUCUAUUCUUUUUUCUAUUUUUCCUAUUUAAUAUGAAAUCUUUCAAAAACUUAAAGAAUUUGGAGAAUGGAAUUUUUCUCUUAAUUUGGGUUCUUAAUGAAACAUUUCAGAUUCAAUAAAAAAACAAUUCACCUAAGCCAUGAAUUGAUCUCAUAUUCAAGCAAAGAAGAAGGGAUCUCCUCCUUUUCCUUCAUGUUCUAUAAAUGACAGAGAGUUGAGAAGAAAAGAUGUGUGUCCAUGGCAUAAAUCAUGCUACAAUCUCCAAGUGAAUUGCUUGACAUUCACCAUUUCAUUUGGAUUUUUCAGUUGUUGGAAAAUUGCAGAGGCAUGAACUCUCUACAUGGUCAAAUUGUCAAAGGAAAAAAAAAACCAUCAAGAUAGAAAAUUGAAAAAUGAGAAUACCGUUGAAUCAGAGUCACGGCCCUCACGGGCACUCUGUAGUGGAUUUUGACUCCAUUGAUCGACACUUCCUUAAGACACGUAUUCUUUUCUUACAUUUCCUUAGUGCCCCUAGUCCCCACCACCACCCGCUUUCCUCCAUUUCUAAAACUUGGGUUCUAGCCAGUUUCGCUGAUUUUCGAUCAAAUAGGGUUUUGCCGAGUUUGACUGAAUUUUUGACAACCGACUUUUAAGGAAGACUCAGACCAGAUAUUUGACUGAUUCUCGAUUCGAUCAUUGUUUCUGUUGGAACCCAUGGUUGGACUGGAAAUGCUGCAUCUGCACCAUGUGAUUUUUUAAAACGAAAAAUAUACAGAAAUUUAAAGUUUAUAGUGUACAAAAGUGAAAAAAAAUUAAUCCUAAGCAUAUUUGUUUCAUUUCAAAUAUAACUUGAAUUUGCUUGUAUAUUUUAACCUAUUGCUAAUUCCUUCGGUCCGUACUUGAAACUUAAACUUGAAGCUGAUUCAUUACCAUUUUUCUAGUUGUCCAUGUUGCAAUUAAUGCAACAACAUUACAUUAAAUUAGUAUGUGCAGUAAGAUUCAUUGUAGCUUUCCACAAGUUAGUAUCUUUUUUAUUUUCCACUAGUAUAUGAACUUGUAGGAUGUACCUUUAAAUGAGAUUGCCUCUUUGUUUCAAAAAAAAAAAAAAAAAGAAAAAAAGGGGGAGAGAGAGAGAGAGAGAGAGAGAAAUUGCUUGUCUCUGAGCUCAUGAAGUUGAAGAUAACCCUUAAAGCCACUAUCAAAAAUUUAAUAACAUGGCAUAUUAACAUUGAAGAUUUGCAGCUGAGGUGCCAAACUAAGCGUAGCAUUUCAUAAGGAUUGUUGCCAGUUGAACUCAUGAAUGUUACUUCAAAUUUUGACCUGUAACUUUUUUACGUGUGUUCCUUUAGUAAUAGAAAAAACUUAACAAGACGUAGAUAAAUUGAAAUGAAUUCUAUGAUAGAGAUGGUUCCCAAGCAGACAAAUAAUUGAUAAUUGAAGAAUUACUAUCCAGGUUCUUUUCAUUAUUUCACUCCUAUUAAUUGUCAAGAUUUCACUCAGUCAAAUAGGCACAUACUAGCAGGUUAUUGUAAUCAUAUUGAUUAGCAUUACAUUAUGUCCUGUUAUUAAUUGUGUCAAAUUCGAGAUGAGAAAUUAAUAGAUAUUGUAUCUAAGACAAAAAAAAAAAGAAAAAAAGAAAGUGAUGCUUUAUGAAACUUUCUAAUUGCAUUGUUCUUGUUAUUCCAAGGCAUGCAACUCCAACCAUAGAGCUAGGUAAUUCAAAAAAAAUUCUAUGGCAUCAAAUAAUUGUUAGUUUCAAUACAUACACAUAAAAACUUCUAUUACAUCACUAGGUACUUAAUUAUUAUUAGUAAAUAGUAACUAUAAAAGCAACAGGACAAAUUAAAAGCAUGAUAACAGCUAACAGGCGUGGAUCAACAAGCUUGGUUUGCACCGACAUGGUGAAAAAACUACUCAUAACCAUAGAAAGUAGAAAUGAAUUUUGCCAAAUUCUAGUUAUAUGUCUAACAUUUCAAAUGCAAUCUUGCAUGUUGAUUUAUGUGCAUGUUGUACAUGCAUGUACAACCAAUCACUUUGACAGACACGAAGGUUCCAUAUCUUGCAGGUUAAUAACUUGGGUAGAGUGUGGUAUAUUAGAAUGAAGAGAUAGAAUUCAACUAUGCAUUUUAUUGUAAGGACUUCAAAAUCAAUGAAUAUCGAAGCUAGGAUAUUGGCCUUUCCAAUAUCUGCAUGAUUAAUUACCAGUCAUGUGAAAAAAUCCCAACUGAUCUAGCCAUUGGCAGUGCAAGCUGUGCAGAGCCAAUGACCAGCGACAACAAUCCGAGAAAAUUCUCUAAGUCCUUUAAUCUGCAUUGAAACCCGCAAAAUGGUUAUGAAGUUAGAGAAAGAACUUUUUGGAAUACUCUAUAAUUUUUAUUUCACUGAUUGAUCUUGUUUAACCUUCUCUCUUUUUUCCUUUUGUUGUUCCUUCUUUUGCAGAACAGGACGCUUGGUUGAGUGUAGAUACUUAGAUCCUCUGUCAACUUGUGCGAGGUUGGGUAGGGUAUGCAUAAAAUCAAUCUGAUGAAUCUAGGAAUCCUGUGAUAUCUAUAUGCUGCAUCAGAUACAAGAGGAACUUGUAGGAAGCACCCUUUCAUUAGAUUAUUCUGUCUCUGAGCUUAUUGAUUGAAGAUGGCCCAUAUAGCCCCAAACAGAGGCUGUCAAAAAUUUAAUAACAGGAAUGGCCAAAGUUAAUUUGGCAGCUUCAAGGCAUGACUGUGAAAAUGUGAAACACGGCAUAUUUGCACUCAAGAUUUGCAGUUUAGGUGCCAAACUACGUAGGAUUUUAUAUAAAUUGUUGCCAGUAGAAAUCGUGAUGUUACUUCAUGGCCUGUGUACUUUUUACAUAUCUGCCUUCAUUAUGUCCUGUUGGUGUUUUCUUCAAUUUCAUGAUGAGCAAUUAACAGAUAUUGUAGCUAAGAAAACAAAAAGAAAAAGAAAAAUUGACGCUUUAUGGAACUUUCUAAUUGCAAUGUUCUUGUUAAUCCAAGGCAUGCAACUCCAAAUACAGAUGUAGUUUAAAAUGAAUAGGACUAAUACAGACCAAAAUGAAAGAUGAUAAGCAGCAAAGGAAGGAAGAAGGGUGAUUGAAUUAUUUUGAGUAUCAAAGCCAUUUCAGCCAAUUCUUUUCCUUUCAAGCCACAGGAGAAACAUUUUUUGCAACUCAUCCCUUGUAAUGAAGAGCCUCAUUGAUGAACUUGUCAAAAUUAAUGUAAGAUGAUCCCCCUACUUCAGUUGCUUCGUCAGCUUUCUUCUUCCAUUCUUUAGCUUUGAACCUCAUUUUUUCCCCUUCCUCUCCCACAAUCAUUUUGCGUAUAAGUUCUGCAACUUCAUCGCGCUUCACAUCAUGAUUUAUUUCCAUUCCAAUUCCCCAUUUCUCACAAGAGUAAUGACAAUUAGUUUGCUGAUCAGCAAAGAAAGGCCAACAGAUGACAGGCACACCAGCACAAAUAGUUUCCAUCAUAGAAUUCCAUCCACAGUGUGUCAAAAAUGCGCUAACAGCUGAAUGCUCCAAUACUUUCUCCUGUGCACACCAGCUUGUUAAGAACCCUCUAUCCUGAAUCUCUUCCAGGAAAUCUUCAGGCAGCACUGCUGAUUCUCCUCCCUGCACUACAUCAGGCCGCACAAUCCACAAGAACUGUUGCCUGCUGUUGGCAAGUCCCCAAGCAAAUUCUCUGAAAUGAUGGUCAGUCAUGGUUGUUACACUUCCAUAAUUAACAUAAACAACUGAAUUUGGUGCUCUUUGAUCUAGCCACUCGAAAACUUUCGAGUCAGGCUUCCAUAAACUUGAAUUCAGGGAAUUGACUUGGCUUUUGGAAACAAUGUGCCUGGCUAAUAACUGUAGAGGGCCUAUAGUAUAAAUAUUUGGGAAAUUGAACUUCGAAAUGACUGCCUCCAAUGCUUCUGUUUCAAAUUCAUCGAAGGCAUUGAAGAUUAUUGAUGAAGCUUUGAGACAACUCUGUGCUUCCUCUCCCAUGAAAUCAAACAUAAUGUCAUUGGGAUCUGUUGUUCUUAAAAAGCUUGGAAGGUCCCUGAAUUUUACAUUGCUCAUGCCACAAAUCCAAUCAACAGGCUUAUCAAGAGUACCAUCUGUAAGGUAAUCGUCAUCUGGAUAGAAAAAUGAAAAAAGGUUUUUCAAGAUUGAGGAACAACUAUGAAGAUUGUCAAGCAAUCAAAUCAAAAUUCAGACAUUUGAACAACCAUCCUUAUCAAGUUUUAUUCCUUUUAGUAUCUGUGUUUAAGAAAAUUCAUAUAGGAUUAUCUACCAAGGUUGUUGACACGUUAAUCAAAAUGGUAAAAGAAAGAAGAAAAAUUAGAAAGACUGCUUCUUUUGUUUACGACAGCUACUAUGUAUGAUCAGUUUUGCUAUCAACAACUUAUCACUGUACAUGUAUACUUGCUCAUGUGGAAGCCCAUCUCAGUAGAUCCAAUUGAAGGAGUUACUUAACAUAUUGCAAUCCUAUCUUUCUUUUUGUGAUAAUUUCAGAAACCUUCUUUAAAGUUUUUCGUAAUAUUACUUAGCAUUAGUGGUGGAGUCAGGACUUAUAAUCAUUGGGCACGUACUAUAUUCCUAAAUUGAUAUUAUUGUUAUGUGAAAAAAGUAGUUUACAUUAAGAUUGUAUUUUAUCUUGAAUUUUCAAGUUUUAAGCUUCUAACAUUAUUUCUUUUCCAUAUCAUUCAAUUUUGUACGUUAAUAGCUUCAAAACAAUUUCACCGACAGAGAGAUAUCUAGAAGAAAAUACUAAUAUUUUGUAGGGGGUAAUGUUUGGGGAGAUUGGGAUUUUUCAAGGGCAAUGUAAAGCAAAAAUUGUAUUUUCCAAAAUUUAGGGGUUACAAUUAUAAUAAAAAAACUAAAAAACUUUCAAACCUUUCAAGCCUACUAUUUAAUUUUUACAAAAUUGAGUGACGACGUUGCCCAUCCUUCAUUACAGGGUGGCUCUGUCAUUGCUUAUCAUCCAUGAGAUUUUCAAAAUAUUCCUUACCUCAUCAGUUUGAUAUGACUAGAUAUUUCAUUAAAUGCCAUCAACUCACUUGCACUAUUAAUAACUACUGUUUUACAAAAAAAAAAAUCCAAAAGGAAGAAAAAAUUUUAAUCAAAAAAAAUUAUGGACAAAAGAUAACCAAAUUGACAUUCCAAAUUGGUUUGUAUUUCUCUGUGUGUCCAACUGGUACUUGAGUUUAGUCUAUAGUUGGUCACUUGAAGAAUUUUAGUAAAUAAUUAACACCUUGGAGAAUUUUAUCAGCCGAAUUUGUAGAAAGCAAGCAAAUUUUUUUUAGAAAGUGCGUUCUAAUAAAUGAUGUUAUGUAAGUUGCAUUUAAAAGUAAAUUAAUAUUUUCAUACGUUUGGUAUAUGCAUGUAAACUCCACUUAUAAAAAAAAUUAUUGAAAAUAUUAGUUUAAGAAUUGUUUUGUAACCAAAUAUUUAGAAACAUUCUAUGCUGUUUCUUGUCUUUUUUUUUUUUUUUGGAAGGGGUGAGAGGGGUCAAAACCUACUACUUAUUUUGUUUUUACAUUUAUAAGCUCUCAUAUUUUUACAUUAACCUUUUAGCCUUAUUUUAAUUUUUAUUUCUAUUGUAAGCUUCUCAAUUAAUAGGAUAAAUAAAGGUAAGAGUGAAUCUAAAAUAUCAUCUCUCUUGUGAUAUGCAGUUUUUUAAUGUUGAUUUCUCCCAAGAAGGCUAAUACGUUAUAAAAAAUUUUAAUUCAAGAAAGGUAGGUGAGAAUGUGAGAUACCUCUAUCGUUUGAAAAAGUGCGUUUGGAUUGAGUGUUUUUGCAUCUGUUUUUGAAAAACUAUUUUUCACAUUUCAAAUGCUACAGUAAUGUGUAUUUCAAAAACAAAUUCAAAAACACCAUAUCCAAACAAUAUAUCAAAAACAACUCCAAAUAUAUUUCAAUUAUGUAUAUUUAAUUUGUAUAUUUUAAUAAGUAUAUUCCAAUUUGUAUAUUUUAAUUAUGUAUUUUAAUAUGUAUAUUUCAAUUAUAUUUUAAUAUAUUUUAAUAUGUAUAUUUCAAUUAUGUAUUUUAAUAUGUAUAUUUCAAUUAUGUAUAUUAUAUAUAUAUAUAUUAUAUUAAUAUAAAUAUAUUUAUUUCAAUUAUGUUUAAUAUUAUAUAUAUAUCAAUUGAAAUAAAUAUUAUAUAUUUAUAUAAACACAUUUAUUUAUAUAUAAAUUUAUAAAUUAUUUAUUCAAUUUUGUUUUAUAAUAUAUAUUAAUAUGUAUAUUUCAAUUAUGUAUAUUAUACAUAAAUUAUAUUAAUAAUAAUGUAUAUUAUAUAUAUUAUACAUUUCUAAUAUUAUAUAUUUAUACAUACAUAUUAUAAAUAUUUUAUUUUAUUUAUAAUAUACUUUUAUAUAUUUAUAAUAUAUUUACAUAAAUAUUAUAUGUUAUAAAAUUAUUAUAAUAUAAUGUAUAAUAUAUUAUACAUUUAUAUAAAUGUACAUUUACACAUAAUAUAUAAAUAUUUAUGUAUAUUUAUAAUAUACAUUUAUAUUAUGUAUAAUAUAUAAUAUAAUACAUUUAUAUUAAUAUACAAAAUAUUAAUUUUACAUUUAUACAUAAUAUAUAAUACAUAAUAUAAAUAUAUUUAUAAAUGUAUAAGUGUAUAUUAUUAUAAAUGUAUAAAUUAUAAAUGAAUAUUAUAAAUAUAUUAUAAAUUAUAAGUGUAUAUUACUAAAAAUGUAUAAAUUAUAAAUGAAUAUUAUAAAUGUAUAAAUUAUAUAUUAAUACAUGUAUACAUUUAUAUUAAUUAUAUUAAUACAUUUCUACAUAAUAUUAAUAUAUAUUUAUAAUUUAUUAAUUUAUACAUUUAUAUAAUAUUCAUUUAUAAUUUAUACAUUUUUAAUAAUAUACACUUAUACAUUUAAAUAUAUAUUUAUAUUGUGUAUUAUAUAUAUUAAUACAUUUAUACAUUUAUAUUAAUAUACAUAAUAUUAAUUUUACAUUUAUACAUAAUAUCAAUACAUAUAUACAUUUAUAUUAAUUAUAUAAAUACAUUUCUACAUAAUAUUAAUAUAUAUUUAUAAUAUAUUAAUUUAUACAUUUAUAAUAAUAUACACUUAUACAUUUAUAAAUAUAUUUAUAUUAUGUAUUAUAUAUAAUAUAAUACAUUUAUAUAUUUUUAUAUGAAUAUAUAAAUAUAUUAUUUAUAAAUAUCUACAAAUGUAUUAUAAAUGCAUAAAUGCAUAUUUAUAUAAAAAUAUAAAAUUUAUAAUUUAUAAUUUAUAAUUUAUACAUUUAUAUAAUAUUCAUUUAUAAUUUAUUCAUUUAUAAUAAUAUACAUCUAUACAUUUGUAAAUAUAAAUGGAUUAUAAAUGCAUAAAUGUAUAUUUAUAUAAAAAUAUAAAAUUAUAAUAUUCUAAAAAUACUCAAAAAUAUGUUUCAAAAAUACCUCUAAAAAUAAUCCAAAAAAAUCUACAUUAAAAGUUUUUCAUAUAAUUUUUGAAAAACAACCCUAAAAACAACUAAUCCAAACGGACUUGUUUUUCAAAUUUAAAAAUGCUACAAUGGUAUUUUUGAAAAACAAACCCAAAAAUAGCUAAUCCAAAUGGAGCCAAAGGCAGGUGAGAUAUUGAAAAUCCUGGCCGUGACUUGCUAGCCUCCUCGUCUCUCCUUUUCUAUUGCAAGAUUUGGAGUCUCUUAAUAAAAUAAAAUUAAACAGAACCCUUCAUCAUGCAACAGCAUCGCCCUGUCACACGCCUAGACAAAAUUUUCUCCUCGAAACUCGAAAAUAUGCUCCAUUCCCAUCAGUCCCAGUCCUUGGUCCGACCCAAACAACUUCUAUAAUGUUUUCUAAUAUGUCCAAGCAACAGAAUAUAUCAGCCAAGUAAGUAUUAUUUGUGUGUGUGUGUUCUAUUCCGAUUCCGGAAAAAAAAAAGUAAGUAUUACGUAUGUUAGUUUUGUAUGUAUCUUAAAAAUGUAGAUGUUAUUUAAUGAAACGGUAAAAUAAAAUUUUAUAACAUGACUAAUGCAUAUUUGAACAAAAAAAAAAAAGAAAUUAAUGCAUAUAACAUUAACAGAAUUUUCUAACAGAUGCAACCGGUCAGUACACCUAGAAUAUAUUUAAAUUAUACCUAAUGUGUUAGGUGAAUGCACAUAUUUAUAUUUAUUGUAUCCCUAUAAUUGACUAUUAUUUUCAAAUUAACUUGCAAGAAAUAAACACCACCUCUUUUAUCGACUAUUCACUCAUUGACUAAACACAUGUUAACGAGUUUAGUCGGAUUUGAGUUCUAAUAUGAUAAAAAUAACAAUAUUCCUACUCGAUCAAUUAUUUUUUUUGUAAGUAUAUUCGGUCAAUUUUAUUAGAAUGUUUAAGCGGAUAAUUCAGGGCUGAAUUUGGGUAAUCAAAAUUAAACAUCUUCAAACCCAAGUCAAAACGGAUCACAUCCGGGUCAAGACUUGAGCCAUGGUCACCUUACUUUUCAACACUCUCAUAAUUUCUAAGACAGUGCAAAAAUAAAAAUAAUAUGAUAAAAGGAAGAGAUCCUAAAAUUGCUCAGCCAUACCAAUUAAGUUGGGACGUCGAAGUCAGUGACACACCAGGUCUCAUAAGACAAGAGAAAAAGACAUGGUAAAGAAAGAAGUUUAUAGAACUUACUUUUGAAUGGAAAAAUCCCUCUCCUGAUGAGCUCUCUGUAGUGCAAAUAUCCAAUGAAAGAGCAAGCAGAAGCAGUCCAGAAUUGAACUUCAGGGAUGCCCAAAUCUUCAGCAGCUUUGAUAGCGAAGCUCAUGACACCAUCAGAAAUGACGCAGCUAACAGGAGGCACUUCAGAAGACGAGUUCAGCUUAAUCAACAGCUCCUUAAAAGGAACCAAACAAUUUUUUCUGACAGAAUCACAGAGCUGAGGCACGUCUUGAGUGGCAUCUUUAUCUGACGGUGGCAUCCCAUCAGGGAUAGUCUCAAACCUGAAAUCAUCGAACCCUUUAACUGACUCUGGCCCUUUCGAUCGGAUCAAACGUUUGUGAUUAAAUUCAGUGUUGACCAAGGUUAUAUGGAACCUUUUUGCGUGCAAAAGCUUGGCAAGUCUCAUUAAUGGGGUAACAUGGCCUUGAGCUGGAAAUGGAACCAAGACUGCAUGGGGUUUUCUGUGGUUUCUACAGAAUCCAUUUCCUGCGUAGAUGACAGUUAAUAGAUGGGAGCAGAAUGUACUAGUCCCAAAUUGAUGGCCAUUUAUAGCAGCAUAUGGGCAGAAAUUGAUUUUUCUUUUUUUUUGGGGGCCACAAAGAUAUACAAUAUCAUAUGUUGUAUGUAAUAUGCACCAUUUCUUUAUCACAAUGAACCAGAUGCACAAAGCGACAAAAUAUAAAUAGAAAACAUCCUUUCAUAGGUCCCAUGCAUCCCGUUGAAUGAAGUAAUCAUACAUUUUUAAAAGGGUUAAUUACCCCUUGAAUGUAGGAAUUAUUUGUAUGUUUUCCUUGAAUAAAAAACGAUAGGCACCACUUGUUACCUUUGGAAAAGGAUUCCUUCAAAUAAUUCUUUUCAAUGGAAUAGCUGAAAGGACAAAAUAUCCCUUCAUAAUUUCAUUUUGCACCCUUUAAUUAUGCUUUAUUCUUUACUAUUGAUCCAUGAACUUUAGUUUGAAACACGUUGCUCUUAAAUUCUUAAUCUCAUCUCAUUUUAAUCCAAUAAACAAUGGAGCAGGCAAAACUAAUGGAUCAGUUACUACUGUCAAUUACCUUACGAAUAAAAUUAGAAUAUUUUGUUAAUGAAGGGUGCAACUAUUUCAGCAGUUUUGUAUAUUUUGUUAACAAUUGGACUAAAUUAGGACAAGUUUAAAACUUUAGGGACCAAAAUAUACUAAACUUUAGUUCAUGGAUCAAAGUGAAAAUUUUUGUAUAUUUCAAGGGAAUAAAAUGCAAUCAGCCUUAAGUUUUCCUAACUAAUAUACCACUUUGACAACAAAAUCUAUUUCAUUAUUAUGUUGGAACCCAUGGUUGGACUGGAAAUGCUGCAUCUGUGCCUUGUGAUUUUUGAAAAAAAAAUCAUACAGAAAUUUAAAGGUUAUAGUGUACAAAAGUGAAAAAAAAAAUUAAUCCUAAGCAUAUUUGUUUCAUUUGAAAUAUAACUUGAAUUUGCUUGUAUAUUUUAACCUAUUACUAAUUCCUUCAGUCCGUACUUGAAACUCAAACUUGAAGCUGAUUCAUUGCCAUUUUUCUAGAUGUCCAUGUUGCAAUUAAUGCAACAAGGUUACAUUAAAUUAGUAUGUGCAGUAAGAUUCAUUGCAGCUUUCCACAAUUUAGUAUCUUUUUUAUUUCCACUAGUAUAUGAACUUGUAGGACGUACCCUUAAAUCAGAUUGCCUCUUUGUUUAAAAAAAAAAAAAGAGAGAGAGAGAGAUAAGAGAUUGCCUCCGUCUCUGUGAAGUUGAAGACAAAGCCACAAUCAGGGCUGUCAAAAAUUUAAUAACAUGGCAUAUUCACAUUGAAGAUUUGCGGCUGAGGUGCCAAACUAAGCGUGGCAUUUCACAAGGAUUGUUGCCAGUUGAAAUCAUGACGUUACUUCAAAUCUUGACUGUCAACUUUUUUACGUGUCUUCCUUUGCUAAUAGAAAAAACUUAACAAGACGUAGAUGAAUUGAAAUGAAUUCUAUAUAGAGAUGGUUCCCAAGCAGACAAGUAAUUGAUAAUUUACUUGACCUGUCAACUUUUUUACGUGUCUUCCUUUGCUAAUAGAAAAAACUUAACCAGACGUAGAUGAAUUGAAAUGAAUUCUAUGAUAGAGAUGGUUCCCAAGCAGGCAAGUAAUUGAUAAUUUAAGCAAUUGCUAUUCAGGUUCUUUUCAUUGUUCCACUCACAUUAAUUCUCAAGAUUCCACUCAGUCAAAUAGGCACAUACUCGCAGGUUAUUGUAAUCAUAUUGAUUAGGAUUAUACAUUAUGUCCUGUUAUUAGUUGUGUCAAAUUCGAGAUAAUAGAUAUUGUAUCUAAGACAAAAAAAAAAAAAGAAAGUGAUGCUUUAUGAAACUUUCUAAUUGCAUUGUUCUUUUUAUUCCAAGGCAUGCAAGCAACUCCAACCAUAGAGCUUAGAUAAUUCAAAACAAAAUGACUAAUAUAAUCCAUUUUCUUUUUAGCCACAGGAGAAACAUUUUGUGCGGCGCAUCCGUUGUAAUGAAGAGCCUCAAUGAUAAACUUGUCAAAGUUAAUGUAAGAUGACCCCCAACUUCAGUAGCUUCCUCAGCUUUCUUCUUCAUUCUUUAGCCUUAAACCUCAUUUCCCCCUUCCUCUCCUAUAAUCAUUUGCGUACAAGUUCUGCAACUUCGUUCCGCUUCACAUCAUGAUUUAUUUCCAUCCCAAUUCCCCAUUUCUUGCAAAGUAAUGACAGUUAGUCUGCUGAUCGCCGAAGAAAGGCCAGCAGAUGAGAGGCACACCAGCAGAAAUACUUUCUAAUGUAGAAUUCCAUCCACAGUGAGUCAAAAUGCACCAACAGCUGGAUGCUCCAACACUUUGUCCUGUGCACACCAGCUCGUCAACAACCCUCUGUCCUGAAUCUCUUCCAGGAAAUCUUCAGGCAACAUUGCUGAUUCUCUCCCUGAACGACAUCAGGCCGAACAAUCCACAAAAACUGUUGCUGGCUAUUUGCAAGUCCCCAAGCAAAUUCUUUGAAGUGAUGGUCAGUCAUGGUUGUUAUACUUCCAUAAUUAACAUAAAAAACUGAGUUUGGUGCUCUUUGAUCUAGCCACUCGAAAACUUUCGAGUCAGGCUUCCAUAAACUUGAAUUCAGGGAAUUGACUUGGCUUUCGGUAACAAUGUGCCUGGCUAAUAUAUGUAGAGGCCUAUUGUGUAAAUAUUUGGGAAAUCAAACUUGGAAAUGACUGCUUCUAAAGCUUCCCUUUCAAGUUCAUCGAAGGUAUUGAAGAUUAUCGCUGGAGCUUUUAGACAACUCUGUGCCACCUCUCCAAGGAAAUCAAACAUAAUAUCGUUGGGAUCAGUUGUUCUGAAAAAGCUUGGAAGGUCCUGAAUUUUAUGUUGCUCAUGCCACAAAUCCAAUCAACUGGCUUAUCAAGAGUACCAUCUGUGAGGUAAUCGUCAUCUGGACAAAGAGAAAAAACGGUCUUUCAAGUUCGAUGAAUAAUUAUAUCAAGACUAACAAGGAAGGGACUUCAUAAUUUGGACAUGUGAAUCCAAUUUUUUAUUUUUUUUAAGUUUCAAUAACUACUAAUAGAGUAAUAACAGAAAUAACAGUUAUAUAUCAGAAAAAAGAUUGUAAUCGUUUCUUACAUAUACCUACAUACAUACAUAUACUACUCCAUUAGUAGCCAUUGGAAUGAAGAAAAAAAUAGUGUUAUAUAACUUUAUAAAGGAUACAUAGCUAGGAAGCCAUUUAGAAGGUAAGACAGAAGUGGAAUAGAAUAUUCUCAUUACAUAUUUGAAGCCAAUAAAUGGGUAUAAAACCGAUCGCUUCGGGUGAACACUCGUCUGGACGGCCAAACGUCGGAAAUGGUCCAGCAAUAACGUGGGAAGUGUCCAGAUACAUGUCGAUUUCAUAUUUUAAGCAGGUAUGCAUGUUUCAUCAUUCUCAUGAUCAAGAAAUUACAAGCUAUAAACGAGAUGAUUAAAAAACAGGUUUAAUCAUACCAAUUAAGUUGAGAUGGAACGUUAAAGACAAUAACAAUACAGUCCAGAGACAACAGAACAAACAAAGAAGAAGUUUAUAGUAUGUACUUUGAAUGGAAAAAAUUCCUCUCCUGAUAAGCUCUCUAUAGUGCAAGUAUCCAAAAAGAACAAGCAGAAGCCGUCCAAAAUUGAAACUCAGGAUGCCCAAAUCUUCAGCAGCUUUGAUGCCAAAGCUCAUGCCAGCACAGAAAUCACACAACUAACAGGGCACUUCAGAAGACGAGUUCAGCUUAAUCACAUCUCCUUAAAAUGAGCCAAACAUUUUUUCUGACAGAAUCACAGAGCUGAGGCACGUCUUGAGUGGCAUCUUUAUCUGACGGUGGCAUCCCAUCAGGGAUAGUCUCAAACCUGAAAUCAUCGAACCCUUUAACUGACUCUGGCCCUUUCGAUCGGAUCAAACGUUUGUGGUUAAAUUCAGUGUUGAGCAAGGUUAUAUGGAACCCUUUUGCAUGCAAAAGCUUAGCAAGUCUCAUCAAUGGGGUAACAUGGCCUUGAGUGGAAUGGAAGCAAGACUGCAUGAGGUUUUUCUGUGGUUCUUGUGGUUUCCAGAGAACCAUUUUCUAUGCAAACGAAAGUUGAAGGCGAAGUAUUAUGCAUAAGUCCCUAAUUGGUGGUGCCAUUUAUGGGAUUUGGGGCAGAAAUUGAUUCGGACCAUACACAAAGGUCUACACAAGUCAUACACUAUACUACAAAAUAUAGUACCAAACAUGUUUCAUGGGUCACACACGUCCAAUGCCAAUCAAAGUGAAAAUGUAUAGGAAUCUUUCAUUUUGUAACUGCAAGCAUUUUUUAUAUUAUUUAUUAAUGAUGAAAUGCAAUGCAAUUUGUCCAUUUAUUAGAGAAGUGUAAUUUUGGUAUCAAUAAGACUGAAAACAAGUCUCAACGAGUUGGAUAGAGGUAUGUUCAGGAUUGAUUUGAAAAUUAAAAGGGAUGUUUGAACUUAGUUUGUGUUUGAUAAUUUUUUGAAAGAAAUUGAUCGAGUUUGGUUUGAAAAUUCAGACAUAUGUUCAUGAAAAACUUGACUUGUCAAAAUAUCGAGUUCAAUUACAUACCAUCAAAGUUUGCUUGACUUGAAAUUUCAUUUUGUAUUAUAUGGAGAUUUUCACCCGAAUUUGUUGCCUUUUUCCCGUUAAAUUUUGCUCUAUGAUAUUCAAGAAAUCUAUUACGAUGAAUUAGGGAUGCAAUUAAAGUCAAUUAUGCCUAUCCAAGAAAACUAUUACAAUGAAUUAUGGAUGUAAUCAAAAUCAAUUAUACCUAUUCAAGAGACGAGCAUUAUAUGCUUGCUAUUUUAUAAGAUAAGCAAUAUACGAAAAGGAAAGAAGUGGAGUUAAGAAGGAAAACUUUAGAUGUAUAUUUAUGAAAUUUACUUGCCUUAUAUAUUUCUAAACAUAUCGAGCUAGACAACGUGAAAAUCGUGAUUGUUCAUAUUUUCGAGAUUGAUUAUGUUCAAAUUUGGAUUAAAACCUAAACAAACAAACUUGAACGGGUUUGGUUCGACCGAGUUCAAAUCAAGUACCAAACUAUUUAGUUCAAUUUACGGCCCUAAACAUCACACGGACUAAUCUUAUUUUCUGCUUACACCACUAAAAUUUAUAUUGUUAUUAUUUAUAAAAAAAUUUUGUUCUUCUUUUUUGGAUUUAAUUCACUAUAACUCAAGGGAAUGUUUUUCAUUCUUCUAAUUGUUGGCAUGAUUGAUAUUGAUGGUUGAUCAAAUGCAAUGAAUUGAUUGUUAAUUUUUUUUUGGUUAAAUUACCAGAAUCACUACAAUUCAAGAAAUGAUUCUUUGUUACCAUUUUCAGUCUUAAAUCAUUCUCUUCAAUGGAUUUAUAUGACUCUCCGCAAUUUUUGUUUGUGAUGACUAUUGUCUAAUUUUAUGUUUUAUAUGUAAUUUACAUUUAACUUUUAUGGAAUUCAUUAAAUUCUAAUUCAACACUACUGAGUGGUUGGAUUUCGUUUAAAGCCCACAGAUUUAAAUUCUAAUUCUCUUGUACAGCUUUCCCCAAUCAGUUAUCCCUUUUUCUUCCCUCUAGAGCUUGGAAACAAUCAUUUAGCUUUUCUUUUCCAGUACAAUGUUUUCAAUUAUUUCGGCUUCAAGUUUGUCCAGAUUGUGCUAAAGUAGACAUUCAUGGUCCCACUCAUCAGUACACAACUUUAAGAUAUUUUCAUCAGUAUACUGUAUACCAACUUGCUCACAAGCUGAGCACAUUCUAAAUUUGUUUCUGGAAGAUGAAUUCGUAGGCCAAAUUCUUCAGAUCCAUCUCAAAUCCAAAAAUUCAAUUUGUUUCUUGUGCUGAAUAGAGAAUAUAUGCAAGUAGGGACAAAAUUUUAGCAUAGAAAUACAAAAAAGUUAAUCGAUCUGAGAGAUCGAUCUAUAUGUAGUAGAAAAUUUUUUGGACAUGAUGGCUUCUGCCGCUGGUGCUGGUUCUUCAAGCUUGGAUCACCUUGAUUCUGCACUCAGAGCCAUAAAGUAUCCCUCGGAGAUCCUAUCAAAACUCAGAGAUGAUUGGAGAUUUUUGGGAAAAAUUUGGGAAUCCACUCAUAAGGGGAGUGGUCAUGCUGUGAUAGGAUGCUAAUUGUUAGUAAUUUUAUUGCUAAUUUUCCCUUUUGUCCUUGCCAAAUAUUGUUUUAGUUGUUAAUAUAUACUUAUUUUUGGUAUUUGGACCUCUCUACAGAAAGUGGAACUGACAAAUGCUAAAAAGGAGAUUUUAUUAAGAAAAAUCCUGCACACACUAGAGCCUCUGGUGGAUGUACAAGUUGGGCACGCAUGGUGCUACAAAAACUCCAGUUUCGGGUGCUGAUGGAGAGCUCUUAUUUAUUGGUAGUUGACUUGUACGUGUAGGAGUCCUGCUGGCAAGAGGAAACAAGAAGCAAUGCGGCAGGACCCACCUUGUGGACUUGGUUUCUCUCAAUUCGGCAGUAUUCUUCUUGGACUUUGACUCUUAAUUCGGCGGGAUCCACGCACUAGGAAAGGCAUUAGUCCUCUUUGGCUUUAAAAAGAAGCAGACGUAGAGAGAUCUGGGAAUCAAUAGUUUUUAUCAUUAGUUCUUACUGUUUUUUAGCAUAGUUUAGUUUUAUUCUUUCUUGGUUCCUUUGAUGGCCUGGAUCUCAAUUAAAUUACUUGGAGAUUAUUUUAUGAGGCGUGACUAAGUUUCUUAUCUAGUCGAAAGCCAACUUGAGGACUCGGUUCCGAACAUCUGUGAGAUCUAAUUAUUUUACUUAUUUCUUUUAUUUAUUGGUAUUUGUACGUUUCCUGAUUUAAUUGCCUAUGCUUGUUAUGUUAUUUGAAUGUCAAGGGUCCGAUAUUCGAGUUAACCUAAUAAUCUACUGUCAAAUUAAUUGAUUGAAUCCGUAAUUGUUCAAUUGAUUAAUACCAGUGGCAACUAGCGUGAUUGGUUUCAUGUUAGGGAAACGUAUGAUCUAAGUUAAACAAACCCUCGUAGCGUGUUUGUUGGUUAGGAUUAGGCUUUUCUAAUUAUUAAUGCAAUCGAGUAAUUAAAUCCUAUGGUCGUACCUAGGGUUAUUUCUUGGUUACAGAAAUAGUUAACGGUCGUACCUUAACUAUCGAGAAAUUAAGGAAAGGUUGGUUGUUCAUCGCGUGUAUGACAACUAUAACCAAUCUAGUAAUGAGUAAUUGAAUUAUCUUUGCAUCGAUGAUCAGUUGAAUGGACCGUGUCUGAAAAGUUGCACCUUUGGCUAGACUCAUAUUGGUUAUUGAUUAAUUUCUAUUAGUUGUUUUAUUAGUUAGUUAAUUAGUUAUUUUAUAUUCUCUAAAAAAUCCCCAUACUUUGGACUUUAAAAGAAACGAAUUAUCCCCAAUUCCUGUGGAUUCGACCCUACUCACUGCUAUAUACAAAAUUUGUAUUUUUCUUGAGUAGGUAAUUAUUAUUGCACAGGUUCGACGACCUGUCAAUUUUUGACGCCGUUGCCGGGGAUCUUCACCUAAAGUGUUGAUUUUCGCGCGCAAAAGUUAGUAGUUACUAUGAGUGCGUGGUCUCGUAGCGAUUGGAGCUGAGUAACCGGGCCCCUCCAUCUGUCAAAUGUUGGAAUUCGUGUCAAAAGGCUCUAAGUGCUAUAGACUAAGUCUUUUGUUACUCAAAAAAAAUAAUAAAAAAAAAACAAAAACAAAAAGAAAAGAAAAAAAGAAGUAAAGUAAAGAUUGUGUUAGUAUGUGAAUAAGUCAGCUUGCCGGUUUGUGAUCUUAAUGUCGAGAUUUUGGUUAAUAGUUGGACCAUUUACUGAUAAAUGUGAGCAACCAUUCUUUUUUCUUAAAUUAGUUUGCUUUAAAUUGGAGGAGUUGGUGGUUGGGAAGCUAACCGGGGUGAUUUUUCUUGGAUUUUGACCUGUGACGCUUGAUAUUUGUUUUUUUUGGGUAUCUUGGCAAUACGGUAGUUGGAGUACUAGCCAUUGUCAAAUUUUUGGUGUUCAAUUGCUGUUCCCAUGCUUGAGGACAAGCAUGAUUUAGGUGUGGGGGGAAUUGAUAGGGUGCUAAUUGUUAGUAAUUUUAUUGCUAGUUUUUCCUUUUGUCAUUGUCAAAUAUUGUUUUAGUUGUUAAUAUAUACUUAUUUUUGGUAUUUGGACCUAUCUACAGGAAGUGGAACUGACAAAUGCUAAAAAGGAGAUUUUAUUAAGAAAAAUCCUGCACACCCUAGAGCCUCCGGUGGAUAUACAAGUUGGGCCCGCAUGGUGCUACAAAAACUCCAGUUUCGGGUGCUAAUGGAGAGCUCUUAUUUAUUGGUAGUUGACUUGUACGUGUAGGAGUCCUACUGGCAAGAGGAAACAAGAAGCAAUGCGGCAGGACCCACCUUGUGGACUUGGUUUCUCUCAAUUCGGCAAAGUUUCCUUCUUGGACUUUGACUCUUAAUUCGGCGGGAUCCACGCACUAGGAGAGGCAUUAGCCCUCUUUGGCUUUAAAAAGAAGCAGACGUAGAGAGAUCUGGGAAUCAAUAGUUUUUAUCAUUAGUUCUUACUGUUUUUUAGCAUAGUUUAGUUUUAUUCUUUCUUGGUUCCUUUGAUGGCUUGGAUCUCAGUUAAAUUACUUGGAGAUUUUCUCAUGAAGCGUGACUAAGUUUCUCAUCUAGUCGAAGGCCAACUUGAGGACUCGGUUCCGAACAUCUGUGAGAUCUAAUUAUUUUACUUAUUUCUUUUAUUUAUUGGUAUUUGUACGUUUCCUGAUUUAAUUGCCUAUGUUUGUUAUGUUAUUUGAAUGUCAAGGGCCCGAUAUUCGAGUUAACCUAAUAAUCUACUGUCAAAUUAAUUGAUUGAAUCCGUAAUUGAUUAAUACCAGUGGCGACUAGCGUGAUUGGUUUCAUGUUAGGGAAACGCAUGAUCUAAGUUAAACAAACCCUCGUAACGUGUUUGUUGGUUAGAAUUGGACUUUUAUAAUUAUUAAUGCAGUAAUUAAAUCCUAUGGUCGUACCUAGGAUUAUUUCUUGGUUAGAGAAAUAGUUAACGAUCAUACCUUAACUAUCGAGAAAUUAAGAAAAGGCUGGUUGUUCAUCGCGUGUAUGACAAUUAUAACCAAUCUAGUAAUGAAUAAUUGAAUUAUCUUUGCAUCGAUGAUCAGUUGAAUGGACCGUGUCUGAAAAGUUGCACUUUGGCUAGAGUCAUAUUGGUUAUUGAUUAAUUUCUAUUUAUUUCUAUUAGUUGUUUUAUUAGUUAGUUAAUUAGUUAUUUUAUAUUCUCCAAAAAACCCCCCAUACUUUGGACUUUAAAAUAAACGAAUUAUCCCCAAUCCCUGUGGAUUCGAUCCUGCUCACUACUAUAUACAAAUUUUAUAUUUUUCUUGAAUAGAUAAUUAUUAUUGCACAGGUUCAACGACCUGUCAUGCUGCUACAGAUGAGGAGAAGAAUAUGGCCUUCUACCUCAAAGAUUGAAGCUACGGCUGAGGAGAUUGCCCAGGAACUUAUUCGUUUUCGUGAAGAAAUGAUUGUGAAUGAUGACCAGGUAAAAGAUGAAGAAUUACUCAACGAACUAGCCCUUGAUUGUGCAACAAAAAACCAAGCUCAUUCCGAUUCCAACUCCCCAAUCGCUUAGACUAUGGGUUUCCAUCUCAACUUGCUUAUGGCUCUCUGCUGUGCUGAGGUGGUUGCGAUUAAGGAUUUGGUGGGGAGUUUUUCCUGCCGUGUCUUCUCUGGUAAAGAUGGACAUUUUCGAGAUGAGGUGUUUUUCCUAUUAAAACUUUUUUUUUUCUACACCACUCUCUGUACUAGAUGUUGAGGAUUGAGGGCGGACGCGGGACUGGAGCGGUUGUCAGAACAACCGCUCCGGAAGGUGUAACACCAUUUGUACAUAGUGUAACAUCAUCUGUACAAAGUGUAACAAUUGAACAACAGCAAGUAAAAUAGAACAACAUUUUUGUGGGUUUCACACGGCGUGAAAAUCGAGUUACAACACGUGAUUUGAGCCGCACAAAUUUUUGAGGCCUCAUCCAGGCCGUGACUGACAACCGUCACAGGCCCCUCGUCCAUUGAGGGCACAACACCAAGCUUCAUUCCAGAAACUCGUGCUCCAUUUGGAUUAGUAUUUUUUAAGAUAUUUUUAAAAGAUUUUAUUAUAUAAAUAUAUAUAAAAAAAUUUUAUUACAAAAAAUUUUAAAAUUAAUAAUUUAAUGUAUUAUAUAAAUGAGAUAUUUUUUAAAAUUAUUAUAAUCCAAAUAGACUCCGCUGCUUGUUUCACAGCUUAUGCCUUCCCCGUGUAGUCACCCACUCCUUUAGAAAUGUCCACGUCCAUUAGAAACGUCAAACACGCGUAGAAAAGGGCCACGUUUUCAUCCAUUAUUGACGUACACGGCACACGGUAUACCGCCUUUGCUUCGCUCUUUUUUUUUUUUUUUUUCUUACGCAGUGGAUGUUGGAGAUUCGACGCGUUAUAUUCUGUGUUUUCAAACUCGGACCGGACCGGCCGGUUCGAUCGAUUGAAUCGAGAACCGAUUAAGUGUCCGGUCCGAGUUGGUCAUCAGAACCGAAAGAUUCAAGACCCGGUCAACUCCGGUCAAAAAUCGGGUUUGACCGGUACAAAACCGGAAAAACCGGUCCAACAGGAGUUUUUGUAUAAAAAGUUCAAAUUUUUUAAUAUUAUGUUUUGGCCCCCUAAAUUGUGAAAAUUUAUUAAUAUAUCUCAAAUAUUUCAUACUUUAUAAAUAUUGUCCUAAAAUUUGAUGUUAUUUUUCAAUUAAAUCCAUAAUUUUAAUUCUAAACUUGUUAAUGUUUAUUAAAUAAUAUAAAUUGUUAUUUGAUUGUUCUAAUUUCUUUGUAUUUUCUUGUUAAAUAUAUUUGAAACAUCAAAUAUAUAUGAUAUACCUUUAUUAAUAUCAAUAUGUUAUUGGAUAUUUUAUAUACAAUAAUUUAAUUUUUAAAUAAUUUUUAUUUAUGACGUCAUCCGGUUCGACCCCUAUCGACCCCCGGUCGAACCCAUUGACCCCUGACCCCUGAUCUCGAUCGAGUCGAUAUCCGAUCCGGUUCUGAAAACAUAGGUUAUAUUUCGGGUUCGACUAUUUUCACUGUACCUGUGACCCGUCUUUUUUUUUUUUUUUCCUGAUGCAGUGAAUAUUCAAGAUUCGUCGGAUUAUAUUUCGGACUCGACUAUUUUCACUGUACUUGUGCCCCGUCUCCAAGAGACACAAGAUGAUAACAGGAUUAGAAUCGCGACCACACAAUACCAGGAUAUAAGGCCCGGCCAAACCCGGGGCUUUUACCGCCUUUGGUUUGCGUCCUUUAUUUAUUUGUCAAAGCCCUCGCACCUUUUCCCACUUCAUCAUCUUCUCCACAGAAAAUAGAAAAAAUUUUUCCUUCCCGUUUGCUCUUCCCCCCUCCUCUUGGCCGGCGCCUAUCUUGUUUCAGCAGAGGCCAGACUAUUUCUUCAUACAGUCUUCCUUCAUACUUUCGUGUAAAUAACAGUGCUGGUCGAAAGGGGCAAAACUAGACAACUCACCUCGGUGUUCUGAGUUACUUACGAAGAUUUGUCUUCUCGAGGCAGGAGCAAAUCCUUUCCUUCAGUAUGCCUCCUGAUUUUGAAGAUGUCAUGGACAAAUGUAGACAAAUCCCCAGAAGACUGUGCAGAUAUCCCCAAAAGUUGUUGGCACGGAUUGAAUCAACAUUCAAGGAUCAUGAGUCAUCUGUGGUGAAAUACUCACUUCCGCUGCUUCGUUUUCAGAUUGAGAUGUACAAGGGAGAGUUCUUUCUGAAGAGGCUAUUACGUCUGAAGAGCAGGAAUGAUGAAAGGCUUAUGGCUCAUCAGAAAGAUCAAAUUAAACUUUUCGUUCAGAAGUUCGAGUGUAUCGCACUAAUUCUCUCAGAUGAAAGAAUUAAGGACAGAGAGGACGUAUUAGGAGCAAUUGGAGAAUUUUUUCACAGGCUGCCAUAUUUGCCUUUCUUCCUCAACGAACAAGAUGAAAUGACCAACCCUUCAUUUCCUGAGCUGUUAGAUAAGGAGACACAUUUGAUCAAGGCAAAGCUCAUGGAUCUUAUUCCUAAAUUUCCAAAGUUUAAUUUCCCAAAAACUUCCAGACUGAAGUCUCUUGAUUUUCUUGGGAGGAAGCUCAGGGAGCUGCUGAAAUAUAAUUCUGCAUCAACUGCAUUGGCGAAGCUCCACACGGAAGAGAUACAAAUACACCUCCAGAAUGUUUCGCAGUUGGACAUUGAGGAGCAUCCAAAGAUAGAAGAUCUCGUUGACCGAUUCACUGAGUUGGCAUAUGAGGCGGAGUACAUAAUUGAUUCAAUAGAGGAUGAUGCUCAAUGGCAGCAUUUCGUCUGGUUGGACAAUGUGCUGGAUGAGUUAAGACUUCUUAGCGAGAAGGCCGGAGGAAUUCAUUUGAGAACCCCUGAUAUGGAAGUCCAAGAUUCCAAGAGUGUCACCCAGGUUUCAGUUGACAAGUUAUCAACAAAAAAUACAUCAGCAAUUGACGAAAUUGUGGUGGAUCUCAGUAACAGAGAAGAUGAAAUCCUCAACCAGCUGACUAGAGGACCCUCAAAGCUGGAUAUUGUUUUUGUUGCUGGAAUGCCUGGUUUAGGCAAGACAACGUUGGCGAGGAAGGUGUACAGCAGUCGUAAAGUCAUGCGUCACUUUCAUCUUCGUGCAUGGUGCUCUGUUUCCCAAGAAUAUGAGAAAAGGAGAUUGUUGCUCGAAAUUCUAACAGGGAUUCAUGGGCUUACAGAAGAGAUUCGCCAAAUGAGGGAUGAAGAUCUCCAAGAUAAAUUGCGUAAGUUGUUACUGAGAAACAAGUAUCUCGUAGUUAUGGAUGACGUUUGGGGUAUUGGAGCUUGGAAUGACUUGAAAAACUCAUUCCCAGAUAAUGCAAAUGGAAGUAGAAUUCUGUUCACCAGUCGCCUCCACAAAGUGGCCUCGGAAAUUAAACCAGACAGUCCUCCUCUUUCUCUUAGCCUUUUUUCUCAGGAGGAAAGUUGGCAGUUGUUAGAAAAGAAGGUAUUCAAGGAAGAAUGUUGCCCCAAUGAGCUGGUGGGAGUCGGAAAGGACAUUGCUUACCACUGUCAAGGAUUGCCUCUUGCUGUUGUUGCGGCUGCUGGUAUACUGAAAACGACAGAAAAAAGCCAAAAUUCGUGGAAAACAAUCGCAGAUAACUUGAGCUCACAAAUAAUUGAUAAUCCCGAAGCUCGGUGCAAAGAAGUCUUAAAUCUCAGCUACAAACAUUUGCCGGAGUAUCUUAAAUCAUGCUUUCUAUAUUUGGGAGUUCUUAAUGAAGAUAGAGAUGUUCUUGUCAGCAAGCUGAUACGGUUUUGGAUCGCAGAAGGUUUCAUACCAGAAACUAAUAAGGGCUCUGAAGAAGUGGCCGAGAAUUUCUUGAUGGAUCUAAUUGACAGAAGCUUGGUGAUAAUCUCCAAAAGAAGAUCCAACGGCAAAGUUAGAGCAUGUCGCCUCCACGAUCUUGUCCUUGAUUUCUGUAAGUCUCAAACCGAGGAUGAGAACUUCUUUCAGCUGAUAACCAGGUCUGAUAAUCCAUAUGCUUCUUUUCCUAAUACAGAUUAUGGUUUCGAAUUUGAUUUUUACCAUCAUUCAUCUCCCGUGUCAUUUGCAUCCUAUCGGUUGGCUAUAUCUUUGAAGAGAAGCCACUUUAUUGAAUCAAAACCUUCUGGCUUGGCCAGCCGUUCCUUGGUUUUCUUUGCUUCUACAGAUUCAGAACCAAAACGCCCUUAUGACAUCUCAUUCAUUUGGCACAACUUCAAAUUGCUUAGAGUCUUGGAUUUUGAAUGCUUCAAUUUGGGUAUUUCAUUUCCCGUAGAAAUUGAAAUUCUGGUACAAUUGAGAUAUUUAGCAGUUGGAGGCUAUUUGGAGUCCAUUCCGCAGUCGAUAGCCAACCUCAGGAAACUGAAAACUCUUAUUGUGAAGGGAUUAAGUCGUAAGAUCACCUUACCAAAUACUAUCUGGCGCAUCACAAGUUUAAGGCAUUUUCAUGUGAGUGUCCACGUUGAUUUCGAUUCAGAUGCUGAAGAGCUUGGUGAUUGCUCCUUAUUAGAAAAUUUGAUCAGUUUUUCCCGCCCAUCUCUUUCUUGUGGUGAAGAUGCAGAGAGGAUUAUAAAGAGGAUUCCAAAUCUUUGCAAACUGAGUUGCAUAUUCUAUGAAUCACCAGAUUCUUCCAUGAACUGCAAUCAUUUUCCGAGAUUGAACUGUCUCACUCAUUUGGAGUCACUGAAGAUAUUCUACUAUGGAAGCCCUCUUAACAAUGGCGAGUUCAUCCUCCCUUUGAAUCUAAAGAAAUUGACUUUAUCAAACUUUCGCCUUCCAUGGAGUCAUAUAUCCACAAUUGGGAGACUACCAAACCUGGAAGUCCUCAAGUUACUUUCUGGUGCCUUUGUGGGGAAAAUAUGGAAAGUGGAAGAAGAGUUUCAGAAUCUCAAGUUCUUGAGCUUAGACAGUCUGAACAUUGCUCAAUGGAAUGCCUCUUGUGAUGAUUUUCCCAAGCUUGAAAGACUCAUCUUACAAAAUUGCAAAGACCUUGAAGAGAUUCCUGCAGAGUUUGCAGACAUAUACACAUUGGAGAUGAUUGAAGUACAUUGGUGCAGUGAAUCGGCGGAAAAAUCAGCAAUUAAGAUUGGAGAAGAAACUGCAGAUAUCAAAGUCCUUAUCAGGAGUUCGAAUUUGAAUUCAUGAGCACAAUUUGGAUCACGUUACUUGUACUUCCAGCAACUUGUAAGUCUAUUUAAUGAUUUCCAGCUUUUCAUACAAUUGCUCCAUUCAUUUUUGAGAUGACACCUGUUGUAUUUCUAUUUGCUUCAAGACACAUAGCUAGUCGAAAACUACUUAAUCUGCUGUUUCAUAAAUUGCAAAGCUCUGUAAAAUCCGGGAAGGUGCAUUUUCUGUCCUCUCGAAACUCAUUGCGCGUUGUUGUCUUAAUUCUAGUGCUAACUUGGAUUUAAACUCGUUAGUACUGUUAAUUGCUAAUUUUGCAACGGACCACUCGUAGCUUCUCAAGCUAGGAUUUUGAUUUGGUAAAUCAUGUUUGAACUUGAACCUGAAAGCAUUUUCUUUGCCUUAGAUAUUUUGGGGAAUUGGUGCUCAAAGGAAUGGAGGUUCAGGUCUAUAACUUGAAGACUACUCAGCUGGAACUUUGGAGGGUCUCGUUCACCAUAAGCAAGAAGUUGUUGCCAAGCUUUGCCUCUCAUUGGAACCUUCUAAUUUUGUAUUCUAGAUUAUGUUUUUGAACUAAUGUAGCAAUCUGACCCUGAUUGCUAGAGGUUUGGUGGAUUUUUUAGAUUGGAUGAUGUGUAUUGGGACCAAUGGCCUUGAAAUCCUUACUUCCUUACUUAAUACUACAUAAGAAGCACUUUCCGUUUCUACAGUAGAGCGAUUUUCAAGUGCAACUUUGCUUAAAUGGAUGGUUUGUACCUUCGAGUGCUUCUCCUUGCUUAGAGGUAUUGUACCUUUGAGGUGGUAGUGGUUGUUGUACAUUUGUUUUGUACUGCCCCUGCUUCUGCGCUGUGACUUCUGUGGAUUUCUGUUCGAAAUUGGAUACACAUAUAGUAUUUUGAACACAAAACAUGUCUUUUUUCUAUUAAACAAGACAUGUACAACUACUAAAACGAGUUUCCAAAAAAUUAGCAAACUUAAAAAUGAAUAAUAAAGUUCGGCAAUGUUCAAGUUUAACCAAGUAAACAAAGGAAAACAAACUGCUAUGAUUUUUGACAAUAUACCAUUCUUAUCAUCUCUUGCAUAUUUGCGUGCACAACUUGUUCAAUCUCAACACACCAAUUGCCUUAAGAUCAAAACAUAAUUUGGAUUCUCAAAACAUUCAAUACGAACAAAAGCUAACCUCCUAAGGGUACAUCUGUUAAGAAAGACAUAAACUGGGGUUCACAACCUCUCCCAAAAACUAAUUUUUAGGUUCUUGUCAGUGACAAAUAAUAUACAGAAUAAUUGACGAAGAGCAUAAAUCCAAUCAUUAUUUUACUAAGUGUGCACAAUGACAAAAAAUGUUCACAUAACCCAAAUACUAAAUUGCAACACUUAAUGGCCACGAUUCAACACAAUUCACAACCAAACGAAAUGUCUAAUAAGGGACCAGUUCACACAUAAACCAGCAUGGAAUAGUGCUAAAAAUUGCUUCUUAAAACAAAGUAUCUGUUAAGAGAAAAGAGUUUUCGGGGAAAUAUUUUCUCUAUUUCAUACAAAUGAUACAAUGGUAUUAGACCUAUAUAUAGGCUUAUAAUAUAAUAGGCUAAGAUUCAAUAAAUCUGGAUAAAUAUGCAAAAUGGUGAUUACCUAUUUAAUCCAUAUCUAACACCUGAUUGAUAUAUAAUUUAAAUUCAAAAAAUUAGAUAAUUAUAAUUAGCUCACUCCAACACUACCCCUCAAGUUGGUGCAUAGAUAUCCCUCAUGUCCAUCUUGCCGGAUGAGUUGCAGAAAUUCUUAAUCCGCACAGUUUUGAUAAGUAUAUUAACCAGUUGAUUUUUAGAUUUUACAAACGAUUAAAAGGGGUUAUGAUUUAUAGUAAAAACAAGUUUGUAAAUAUCACUUAUUCUCAGCAACAAAAGCUAAAUAUAUUAUAUAAUUAGAAAGUUAAACAAGUUAAGACUCUUAUAUUGUUGAGAUAGUGAAGUAUAUCAUCUCAAAUAUAUAAAUAUUUGAUGAAAGAUGAUUAUAUAUUCCUCUAUUAUUUUUAGUUUUAAUGGACAAAAUUAUAAGUAUAUCCUUGCAUAUGAAUUGGGUCAGGUAUCUGCGAUUUUCAAAGUUUUUGAAUUGUGACGGGACGUCCUUCUUUGUUAAUCUGAUUUGCUGCUACCCGAACUACACAUAUUAAAACCGAUUCGAAUAUCCUAAAUUUGCGGUUCAGAUCGAAUCAAUAUUUACGAUUUUUUGGGUUUCUCUGAUCAAAAUAAACAACCUAUGUUACGUAAACUUGCAAAUCUUUAUUACUUACAAUCAAACAAAAAUUUAUUCCUAUCCUACCAUAGAACCCAACAGACAACGGGAAAAAGAGGAAACCAAAGAACAUUAAAGCGGUUAGCAGUUGAGAAUUUUUUACAACCAAAACUGUAAUUAUGAAGUGGAGUUAAGAAGGAAAACUUUAGAUGUAUAUUUAUGAAAUUUACUUGCCUUAUAUAUUUCUAAACAUAUCGAGCUAGACAACGUGAAAAUCGUGAUUGUUCAUAUUUUCGAGAUUGAAAUUAUGUUCAAAUUUGGAUUAAAACCUAAACAAAUAAACUUGAACGGGUUUGGUUCGACGGAGUUCAAAUCAAGUACCAAACUAUUUAGUUUAAUUUACGGCCCUAAACAUCACACAGACUAAUCUCAUUUUCUGCUUACACCAGUAUGCGUAUAUCACAAAAGUUGGCUUCUUGAUGACCACGAGUUUUGCUUUCACUGAAGGUAUGUAUAAUGGUAGCAGCCUCGCUGUGUCGGAGGAAUCCGGUGCUCAACAACGUGAGGGAGAUGCCGCUGGCCGGCACAAGCGGCCUUUUCCUGUUUGCUAAUGGUUAGGCGCAGGCGACAACUCACGACUUUGACCACUGAGCUCCGGCUCAAUAACCAUAAAAAGGGACUAAAAUGGUGAUAGAACGCCCUUUUGAUCAAGUAGAUUUUUAUAUAACCUCUUUAAACUGUUUUUUCUUAAAUUAGAAUAAAUUAAGUUAUAAAAAUAUUAUUAUUACCUUUAAAAAAAAAAAAGACAACUCUAUUACCAUUAAAAAAAAAAGACAACUCCGAAACGGAUAAUGCUGAGUACAACAUACAUGUAAUGAAUUAUUGAUGAUCGUGGGAUUAUUUUCCUUAUGAAAUCGGAGUUUUUCCUUUGCUUUUGUUUUCUCUGAGUAAUUUCAAUAGAGUGCUUAAUUGUUGAAUUUAUAGUAGUAUCUACCACCACCUAUCAUCGGAUAUUGGCGAUAAGUGUUUGUAUUAGUGUUAAUAAUGGAAUGUAAAGAGGAUAAGGCUAAUGAAGUUCAAAUUGUAGCUAAAUUGUAAAUCUCGACAUGUACGCAAAUUAUCUAAAUUAUGCAUGAUACCCAAUUUUACACUCAAAGCUAAUAUUUAUAGAACUUUGGGCAUACUAGGCAAAUCAAGUCUCACCAAAAGCCAUCCACAAAUCCACCAAAAGAAAGAGGAGGAAAGAUACCCUCACAAGGAAGAGCAUCAGCAAGCAUUUCCCAGAUCACAACUGCCUCGUUAACUUCACUAGGAAGACCUGGAGAAGAACCAUACUAUCGCGUAAGACCAGGCUUUCCCUCCUCUUUUUCCCGGGCUUGGGACCGGCUGUCUGUGGAGACAGGCAGAGUUACAAGCAUACUACCACACAAAACAGCACAAACAUACAAACAAGCAAGCCACAAUCAAGAACAAUAGAGAAGAAAGUGCAGACUUAUAUCACAAAUUACUACACAUUCCUUCAAAGCGAUCAAGUCUCACAAUUUACUUUCUUCACUUGUUUUCAUACCAAGUCUCACCUUUUAUCAUAACUGCAGACUUAACCAUUAAAUCAACUAAAUCAUCACCAUUAGUUACGAACUUGCAAAUUAGGGGAAUCAACCACUGAAACAAAUAUGAUGCAACAGUUAAUUUUCUAUAGCAUUGUACCAAAAAGAAUUCGAAAAGGUUUAAGGAAAGCUCCAGUGAAGAGAAUGCGAUAUAAAACAGAUUUACAUACAAAAAAUAAAAUAAAAUAAAAAACUUAAAAAAUUUGAAAAAAAUCAUAAUGCUAGACUGAUAAAGAUCAAAUAUUAUGUAUUGCAAUCAUCCAACAAAUAGACCCUACUCAUGGGACCGUCAUACAAUCACAGGGGCUUAAGCUGCACAGGCAAACCAUAUAGAACUAAUGAUAAGUUGACCUGGAAAACAGGAACUCUUUCAUUUCUUGAAAAAUCCAACGAAAUCAACCUCAAAGUUGUGUACGCACUUCAACCAAAUUGAUGAUUUUCAAUACUCGUAAACAAGGCAUUUGGAUUCCUCUCAAUUUGUCAAUCAUUUACAAAUGGUUCCAUGAACAUAAAAACCUGUGCCAGGGCCUGCCAAAAUGGAACCAUCUCCCAAAACAGCAACGCAUACUAUUGCUGAUCUUAGAUUGGACCUCUUGAUGCCACACCAUAUCUGUUAGGACCAUAAGCAAAGAUUGUCCAACAGCUUCUUCCCAAGGAUGACAGAAUUCAGUCACAUGCACUUUAAAGUUGCAUACUAAAACCUACGUACCAGAGGAUCACAAAAUUCAAGUAUGAAAUGAAAUUCACACAAAAUACCAGUACCAGUGGUAUGUAAGUUGAUGACCACAAAAACAGAUUGCAUGCAUCUGUUAUUACAUGACUGAACAAUAACAGUACCUGUUCUUACAUGACUAUGAAAGCAGAUAUUGCAUGCAUCAAGCAUCUGCUAACUACUGAGCAUAACCGAAUUUCUCUUCCAUUCAACUGUAGAUGAUGAACGCUAGCAGCUGAGUAUUCAAUGGCGAAAGAGGACGAAUCCCGUUAGACCCUCUUCAACAAUAAUGGACAUACCAGUUACCACGCACCAAAAGCCCAAGAACGAUAGGAGGCAAGAAAUAUACCUACUUCACCAUGACCAUGAACCCAUACUGAGUUGCAUCCUAGGCCGCACCCCAUGGCAUAUCAGAAGUUUCUUUCCACAUUCAAACAUCAAAGUCGUCAAUCAAAUUCCAUGUAGACUAGGAAGAGCCACAUCUUUACCAUCUAUAUGACUUGAAAGGAGACAAAAAAAAAAAAAAAGGCAACGAAAGAGAGAGCUCAUCCAAAAUCUUGUUACAAAACCGGUUAGCAGGGUCCCAAAUGCACCAACACUCCGGGAACAAGCUCCUAAAAAUAAAAAAAGACAGAAGCCAUCACCCACCACCCCCAGUGAUUUUUUCAGGCAAAGAGAACAUAGAAAUAGCAGGUUGAAAAGAAAAUCUCCCGAUUUAUUCCCAUCCAUCCAAGAGAGAGCUCUUCUCGCCUACACACACCACAAAUCCACUUUUCUUGAAAGACGACAUCAAAAGAACCAGAGAAGGACAAAUCUUGAAAAAUCAACAAGAACAAAAACACAGUGAUACCUUUUCCUUGAGGAUCAGGAACAGAGACUUCCAAGCAAUUACUGACAACAAAUAAUGCAUAAGGCAUUUCUACAAGCAUGGUGACUAUGGAAGAAGAGAUUUACAAAGAAUUUAGAUUAUAUUUAUAAUAGUCUACAGACAUCAAAAAGUACCAAAACCCUUGAAAUGCUCAAGCCAAAAAAGAAUGAUAAGCAUAGGUAUGAAGAUAAACCCCUCUAAAAUAAUGUACUAGCCUUUGAUCUGAGGACAGAGACCUAUGUUUUGGCCACCCCUCUGAAUCACUGAAAUCCUAGAUUCGACACAGACAAAUUAAAUUAAAAUGACAUAGUAAAUUAAAGAACAAGUAGAGAAAAAUCAUUUUUAAAAGAAAACAGCAAAAAAAAAAGAGUAGGGAAAGAGAGUGCUUAUCCAAUAUCUUGUUACAAAACCAGUUAGCACAGGGUACCAAACACACCGACACUCCUGGAACAAGCUUCCCUAAAAUCAAGACAACAGAGAGAAGCCAUCACCCACCUGAUUUUUUCAGGCAAGAGAGAACAAAAAAAGACCAGGUUGAAAAGAAAAUCUCCCGAUUUUAUUCACAUCCAUCCAAGAGAGAGCUCUUCUAGCCUCCACAUACCAGAAAUCCACUAUUCUUGAAAAAUGACAUCAAAAGAACCAGAGAAGAGAAGACAAAUCUUGAAAAAUCACCAAGAACAAAACAAACCGUCAUUAACCUCAAAAUCUUUUUACCGUCUUUUUACCAAUCAACUCUAUAAGGGAACUGCUCAAAAACCAGAGCAACUGAGUACAGCAAUACAAAAAUAAAGCAGAAAGCAAAACUCAAAAUUAAGGAUCACAAUCACAUCAAUUCCAUAAUUCCAAGAAGAACCGCAUCCCAUAAUUCUAAGAAACAUCGCAUCCAAAAAGCCCAUGUUCCAUCUCAAGUAGUGUUCUGCAAAGAAGUAUGAGAACAUGAAUAGCCUACAAAGACUUGGCACAAAGAUGAGAAUAAUCUUAAAAUAAAAACUGUCGAUAAUUUACCAUGCAAUCAGACCAAUAUGCAUAGCCUUAACUCUUCUUCAGAUCAAGCUGAAUGAGCAAAAUACCAGGAACCUCACCCAUACAAAUAAACUUGAAUAAGCACAGAGAUGCAUUUGGUUAUAACCCAUUCUAUUCAUCGUGGAUCAGGAAAGUUGACUCUGCAAGACAUGCCGCCAGGCCAAAAAGAUUCACAGAUAAAUUAUAAUUAAGGCAUUGAAACCCCUAAAUUCCUCUAGCACAAAAGAACAAUUUGGGUAGGUGAGAAAAUAACUCCCUCCAAAAAAUUUAACUAGCCCUUGAUCUGAGAAUGGGAAGGCAAGUUUGAAACACGAAUCACUUCACUGAAACCCCAAGCUGCACCCUAGUAAUAUAGGAAAUUAUAGAAGAGGAGCAAAUCCACAGAUAUCCUAAUCAAUUUCAAGGAAACAGAAAAAAAACAAGUAGGGAAAGAGAAAACUCCUCCAAAAUCUUGUAAACUGGAAUAGCAGGUCACACAAAUGACGAGAAUGCUCCAAUCCAAACUUCCCUAAAAUGAAGACAAUAGAUAAGCUAUUAUCAACGAAUACCAACUAUUUUUAUGCAACAGAAAGAAUUGGUUGGCAGAAAAAAAAAACUCCCGAUUUAUCACAUUCAUCCAUCCAAGAAGAGCUCUUUUUUGCUUAGGGAAGGAAAGAGAAAACUCCUCCAAAAUCUUGUAAACUGGAAUAGCAGGUCACACAAAUGAUGAGAAUGCUCCAAUCCAAACUUUCCUAAAAUGAAGACAAUAGAUAAGCUAUUACCAACGAAUACCAACGAAUACCAACUAUUUUUAUGCAACAGAAAGAAUUGGUUGGCAGAAAAAAAAAACUCCCGAUUUAUCACAUUCAUCCAUCCAAGAAGAGCUCUUUUUUGAUUCCAUCCAUCCAAGAAUCACGAAUCACUUCACU
RNAcentral lists this long non-coding RNA (77770 nucleotides) under Coffea arabica (coffee). Its description in RNAcentral is "long non-coding RNA (CARA_LNC000032)". Lineage: Eukaryota; Viridiplantae; Streptophyta; Magnoliopsida; Gentianales; Rubiaceae. The record is from RNAcentral.